UUUUUUUUUUUAGUUUAAUUCUACCUAAUUAACUAAAAAAUGGGCCCCCAAUUUAUUGGGGCCAAGGACUUUUUUUUAUGUCUUACCAGCCGCCCCUGAGUCCUUGUAUUAUUUUAUUUCAAACCUUGCAUAUAUUUUAUUAUAAUUAAUAGAAAUGUAUUCAUUAUUAUAUAGACAUGUUUUGUCGACAAAUAAGAUAUUAUGUCGCCAAAUUUGUGUGAUUUGGUGUACUGAAUGUGGUUUCUCUCGUGACUUUUGAGUUAUCUAACAAAUAACAAAUGAACAUUUUUUUUUACAUUAAAGAAAAUAAAUGUUUUUAUUAGAUAUUUAUAGAAAACAAAAAACAUUUCUACCUUAUCUUAAAAUAUUGAAAAGAUCGGAUUUGGCUUCUCUCCAUUUUCCCCAAGUUUUUGCUUGGAUGUGAGGCUCAUGACAUAGAUACAAAUUAAUGGCUAAGAUUUGAUUGAUUAUAAUAAGAUUUUAAUUAUAAUUUAGAUAAUUAAUAUUUCAUAAAAAUAGUAAUGCCAUAACCUUGCAUAUAUAUUAUCUUUUCUAUAAAUAUAUUAUUAAAAAAAAUUCUCUUUUUUCUAAUUUUUUUCCUGCUAGUAUUAUCAUUUGUUUUUGUCCUAAAUAUGUUAAAUAUUUUCUAUUUUUUUAAAAAAAAUUCCUGUGAGUAUUUUUGCUAUUAAUUAUAUGUGAACCAAUUUUAAAGAGAAAGAUCAAAAUUGCAAUCUAACACUAACUCAAUUAAAAAAAAAAGAACGUAAAUACUCGUAGAGAAAAAAAAAAGAGAAAAAAAUUUAUAAUAUAUUUAUGGAUAAGAUAAUAUAUUUGUAUGAUUGUGACAUUACUAUUUUUAUGAAAUAUUAAUUAUCUAAAUUAUAAUUAAAAUCUUAUUUCAAUCAAUUAAAUCUUAGACAUUAAUUCUUACAUAUGCCAUGUGUCUCACAUCCAAACAUGAACUUGGAAAAAAUGAAAAGGAGCCGGAUCCGAAAAGAUCAUAAACUCUGCGUCGUUAUCGCUAGCUCGACUUUGACUUUCAACAAACAAGCACCUUUCUGUUUUAUUGAAAAUGAAAAUAGAUUUCGAUCUUUUUUUUAAAAGGAGCCUUUUUCUUUUCACACAAUUUUGGCUAUAUACACUGCAAACGAAAUCCCCUCUUCUUCUACAUUGUUUUCGAAUAAAGUAAGUGUCAAAUUUGAUUUGUAUUUCACGAAAAUUUUAUCAUUCACAAAUUUAAUUAAUUUUUAUUUAAUUGGCAUAUUACUCUUUUUGGGUGUGUUUGGUAUGAAGGAAAAUAUUUUUCUAGAAAUUGCUUUCCUGGAAAACAAGUAGAUUUUUGACUUAUUUUCUCAUGUUUGGUUGGUGAGUAGAAAAUAUUUUUUAGUGUUUGAUUUAUGAAUGAAAAUUAUUUUUGAGAAAAUAUCUCUUUUUUUUACUAGAGAGUAGAAAAUAUUUUUUAAAUUAAAAUUGAAAAUAUUUUUUAAAAAUAAACUUAAUUUUUUUUGGGGGUGGGUGGGGGUAGGGGUGAUAUGGGGUAAAAAAAUAAAUAUUUGAAAUCAAAAAUAUAUUUUAAAAACAAACUUAAUUUUUUUUGGGGGGUGGGGGCUAGUAGGGNNNNNNNNNNNNNNNNNNNNNNNNNNNNNNNNNNNNNNNNNNNNNNNNNNNNNNNNNNNNNNNNNNNNNNNNNNNNNNNNNNNNNNNNNNNNNNNNNNNNNNNNNNNNNNNNNNNNNNNNNNNNNNNNNNNNNNNNNNNNNNNNNNNNNNNNNNNNNNNNNNNNNNNNNNNNNNNNNNNNNNNNNNNNNNNNNNNNNNNNNNNNNNNNNNNNNNNNNNNNNNNNNNNNNNNNNNNNNNNNNNNNNNNNNNNNNNNNNNNNNNNNNNNNNNNNNNNNNNNNNNNNNNNNNNNNNNNNNNNNNNNNNNNNNNNNNNNNNNNNNNNNNNNNNNNNNNNNNNNNNNNNNNNNNNNNNNNNNNNNNNNNNNNNNNNNNNUUGCGGGAGGGAGGGUCGGGUGAGGGUGGGUAAAAAAAUAAAAAAUUUGAAGUUGAUAAAUAUUUUUUAAAAAUAAGCUUUAAAUUUAUUUUUUUCAACAAAAAAAAAUUAAUUUGACGUUGGAGGAAAGUUUUGUAAAAUGUUUUCCUUAAGUUUUGAAGGGAAGCCAUUUUUCUUGAAUUUGAGGAAAUUAAGUUGAUUUGGAAAACAUUUUCCAAAAUAUUUUACCCAAUCAAACAUGAGAAAAAUUGGAAAAUGUUUUCCUUCAUACCAAACACACCCUUUGUUUCAGUUUUUUUUUGUCUUAAUUAUUUAAUUCAUUGUUUUUAAAAAAAAAACAUCACUUUUUCAUAAUUCUUUAAUUUUAACUUUUUCUAUAUUAUGCUUAAAAUCACAUGAUUUAGAAUAUUUUGGUACAUUCUAUAUAUUUUUAGUUUAAAAUCACAAGAUUCAAAAAAAAAUUAGUACUUUCUUACAUGUUAAAUAAAAUCGACAAAUAAAUUCACAUAAGAGAAGUAUUUAAUUAUUUUGAAUAUCGAAAGAUACUACCUCUGUCCCUAUUUACUUAUUGAAUUCUUCCUAAUUUGAUUUCCCCUUUUACUUGUCAUUUUUGACAAAUGAAGAAAGGACAAUUUUAUUUUUCCUAUUAUAUCCUUAAUUUAUUACCUUGACUCUCGAGUUAAUGUCUUUAAAAAAAAUAUAGUGAGGAAUAUGUUUAAAAUCCUAUAAAUUAAUAGGAGUAAAAUUGUAAACUAAAAAAAUAAAAAUCAUCAUUUUCUUAAUAAAUGAGUUAAGUUAAAAAAACUGACAAGUAAAAAAGGACGGAACGGAAGAGUAACAAAUUGGCUGGACACAGAGGCAGAGCUACGUGGGGGUUCAUGGGUUCGGACAAACUCAAUAGCUUUUCUGUAGACCCUACAUUUGUACUAAAAUAUUAAUUAAAUAUUUAUGUAAUAUUAAUUUGUGAACCCCUAACAAAAUUGACUGACGAUUAUUAACGAAAUUUAGAACUGCCAAACUCUUAAUCCUGACUUCGCCUCUGGCGGGACAGUGGAGGUUGGACAGAUAAACGAAGACUCAAUGAUUGGUGCGUUGAUAGACGUUAACGUGUCCCUACAAUUAUAUGUAGGAUCACAUUAAUUUAUUCUACUUUCGAAAUUACACUCACCCCCUCAACUUUUAUUUAUUUACAUUUUACUACUGUCUCUUCUAAAGAGUUUUUACAAGUGCUUCACUAAUUUCUUAUAAUAGGUUGAGCUAAUAUAAAAAAAAUGACUUAGCAUAGAGUUAACAUCAUGAUUUAAGUAAAUCAAUUAGGUUUGACUAAUGACUAAUUAUGAAGUAGAUAAAUUAAAAUUUUAAGAUUUUCAAGAAAAUUACAUUUAUCAAAAUAAUUAAUUGAGGGUAUAAUAGAUAAAAAAAAUUGUCUUUUCUUCGUUUGUCAAAAUGGAUAAGUAAAAAAGAACAAGUAAAAAAUGAAAAUUAAACAAGUAAUUAGGGACAUAGGGAGUAUUGCUAAGUCAUUUUCUUGACAUUGGCUUUCUAUAAAUUCUACCUGUUUUUGAGAGUGCAAUUUGAUGUUUUGAGGUUGACAUUUUCUUUCUUGUUACGUUGGUUUCUCAACUUAUUUAAAUAGAUUUAGUUACCGAUAUCUAUUUUUUAAAUUAUUUGAUUAUAUAAAUAUCUUUUAUCUCGCGUGACCCUUGUAGCUCUCAUGCAAAUAAAAGAAGUAUAGCACUAACAAAAACAAGAAUACGACGUAAACCAAAAAAAACCAACAAGAAUGCAACAUUAAAUCUAUCAAAAUUUACUUAACAAAUUUUAGAUGUGAUAGAAAAUUUACUACUUUCUCUGUUUCGAUAAUCUUCCGGUAAGAAUCUGUUUUACCUUAAAUAUAUUUGAGAAAAAAUUAAAAAAAAAUUUGGAAAUAUUGUUUGGUCAUACAAUUUUUGCCAUUAUUUUAUUUGCCAAAUGUCCCUAGUUCUAGAUAAUAGAAAAAACUAGUAUUUAGGCCAAGUUCUAAUAUUUAAAUUUUCUUAAAAAUUACUCCAAACUAUUUUAUUUUAUAAUCAUUUAUUAGUUUCAACUAACAUUUGUCUAUAAAAUUAUUCCAUUCAUAGCUAAUACUUAUUCCUCUUUGCUAUCUAUACAAAACAUUGUCAAAAAAGAACAAUUUAUUUUUAAUGAGUUAUAAUUCUUUCUGAAUCAGUCACAAAUUUGAAUAUGUGAUUAAUGUAUUGCUCUUGUUGAUUGUUAUCAAUUAUGUUAUAAAGUUAUUUUAUAACGGAAUAUAUUCAUUAUGAAAUGACAAUAAAAACUUAAAGGUAAUUUAAAUAAUUCUUAGAACUUAUUGGUAUAAAUCAUAUUUUUUGCAACAGUCGAAUACUUUUCUCAAAAUUUAUGGUCAAACAUGUGGUGAAAGUUCACCCAAAAAUGAUUUGCCAAAAAUAUUUGAAAAUUUAAGGGAAAAUGCUACCUUAAAACAUAUUAUGUGAAAAGUUAAAUAAAAAAAUUGCAAAAGAAAAAUGAUCUUUUUUUUAAUAAUAAACUAAAAGAAAAAAUAGGUUAAACAAAUGAAAACUAAGAGAGUAUUUCCUUUGGAGUACCUACUUUGGCAUUUCAAUCAAAUUUAUAUUUUUAAAUAAAUGGAGAAAAAAGAGAAGUAAAAAGCAAGUAUAUUAUUAUUAUUGAAAAGAUGUGGUAGCUCUAAACUUUUUUUUGGGGUCCAUGAAACAUCUUACAUCACACGUGAAAAAUAACGUGUCGGGGGUUUGUAAGAAAACAUUAAACAUCAUAUCAUCAUCAUCAUUUAUUAUUACUCCUCUAAAGUCUAUUUAAUUACUUGUCAUAAAAAUAAAUAAAUUAUGCCUAUUAAUACAAUGUUAUUAUCUCCGUUCACUUUUAAUUGUCGUAAUUUCCUUUUUAGAGUUAAAUUAUAAAAACUUUAAUUAACAUUUUAUGAUAUAUAUUUUUAUCAUAUUGAUAUGUAAAAAAUUGUAAUUUAUAGUACUUUUCGUAUAGUUAUUGAAUAUUUAAAUUUUUUGUUUAAAAUAUCGAAUUAAUGUAAUCUAAUUCAACUUUAAAAAUUAGUCAAAUUGACUUUCGAAAAGCGUAACACAGUGGACGAAGGGAGUAACAAAAAUAAUCACUUGAAAGUAUUUUUAUUUAAUGUUUGAUUUUGAUUAGUAUGUUUUCAUCGUAUAUGUUUAUUGAAUAAGAGUAAAAACAAAAUAAACAAUCAAUUAAAUCUUUGCUUUAAAAGAUGAGAAUUAUUGCGUCCAUUUUAUUUUACUUAACUUAUAUAGACUUGAUAUUCCUGUUAAAAAAAUAUUUGUUAUGGAUUUAUUUCACAAAAAUUAACCUCAUCAAUUAUGCUUUAAAAAUUUGAAUUUGACUACUAAUAAUUUAUACAAUUAUUUAUGAUAAAGGUAAUAUUAGAAGUAAAUAAUAAAUUUCUCUAAAUUUGCUAUGCUGAACAAGUAAUGAAAUUUUUCAAUUUUAAUUAUAAAAGCCAAGUAAAAUGAAACAAAAGGAGAAAUUGACGAAAAUAUUUAGUUUAUUUAAUAAAAAGAUUAAAGAUAAAUAAACCAACAAUAUUGAUCUAAUGAAGUUAUCUCUCGGGUCACAUUAUUGAUUAUUAGUGUCAACUAGCUCGUGAUUUUUUUUAAUAACUCUAAAAACUGUCAAUUACGACGUUUAUAUAUCUUUAUUAAGUUUUGUUGGGUUUUAAAGGUGUGAACAGGAAAUGAAGGGUUGUGACCUUUAUGAAAGGUUGUGUCCUUUCUAAAGGGUUGUGACCGUUUGAAAGGUUAUGCCUUUUCCAAAGUGUUGUGACCUUUCUGAAAGACUGUUUUCUUUUUGAAAGGUUGUCUUCUUUCCAAAGUGUUAUGACCUUUACCCUUUGUUGACUAUAAAUAGCAAAGGGUUGUGACCUUUACCCUUUGUUGGCUAUAAAUAGAGAAGUUUUCUCUCAUUUUUUUGCAUCGAAUUCUUCCCUUCUUUUGCAUAUAUUUCUUACAAAACAAAAUCGAUCGAUCGUGUCUGUGUGUGUGAUUCGUUGUUGUCAUUUUGAGUUCGUUGAAAUUAUCGAAGUUUGAGGUACCACUACUUCUUUAAUGGUUAAUCCGUUUUAUCUUGGGAGGAAUUAAUCUGCAACCUCGGGUACUUGAGGGGAUUAAAUUUCUUAAGGACACACAGUGGGUUCUGUGGACUCGGAUAGUUCUUUGUGUUUUUCUUUUCAUCUUUUAUUAUUUCUAGUUUGCUAAUCUGAAUACAAGAGAUAACAAGUUCCACUUAAUUCCCAUCUAUAAUAUUUAAAAUGAAAAAGAACGUUUUUGACAAAUACUGUGAAUAAUUUUCAAGCAAAGAGUUUUUUUUUAUUCCUUUUCGAUCCAGAGAUUGUUAUCUCUUAUAACCUUGCUUAAACCCAACAAAGAUAUACUACGAAAUGGAACAUUUGGACUAUAAAAAAAAUCCAAUGAAAUUAAAGUUAUCGUUAAGCACGGAAAUUCGAGAAAUUGUUUCAUACGUAUAAUUUAUGUCAUACUUUAAAAUUUGUAUUUCUUGAUCAAAUAAGUUCAUGCAUGGUCAAUAUAUUUUAGUCAUAUACUCAUAUUCAUAUAUAGAAGCUGUAAUACAGCGAGGAGAAUCUUUAUUUGCUUCGUGAUAAGAUACGAAACCAUGAUUGAAAUAAAGAUAUCUAAAUACUUGUUCUAUCGAUAUCUUAUUUAAUAUGUCUAGAUUAAAUUAAUUUCCAUUUGUUAUUUCUAUAGCUAGCUGUUUAAUUAAUAUUUUAGUAUACGUAUAAUUAGCAAGGCUGGACCCAACAUCUUUAAUAGAGUGUGAUAUUUAUUCACAAGCUUAAUUUGUUGAAGUAUUAGGUAGAUAAUAUACAAAAUAUUUAUAUAAUAAUGUCAUUGGAGUCAAAUUGAUGGAAAAUUUAUAUCUUCAGUCGGUGUAGACUCCAAAUUAGAUAUCUUGAUUUAUCAUCACUAUAAUAUCAAUUUAUCGUUAGUUCAUUACUAAAUUGUUCUUUGUUUGUCACUAAUAUAUUUUCUCGAUAAUCCAUCAAUGAUGUUUCAAUAUCUUGAUUAAAGUAAAUUUAACUAUUUAAUCAAAAAUGAUAUUUAGCGGCAAUAGUUUAAUUGUCAUUAAAUAUAUUUUUUUAGCAGCAAUUAGUACUCUUUGUAAAUGUCUUAAAAGCCUAUAGCGAUAUUGAAUCUAAUGACAAUUAACUAAUGUUGGUAAAGACUUUAACACUCUUUGUUACUGUGUAUAUUUAUUACCGCUAAAAAAUAUUUUUAUUACAGUAAACAAUGAAGAUAAGUUGAUUAAUUAACAAAUUAUUAUUAUUUCGCAAAUUUGAGGCAGUACUUGUAAAAUAGGACAAUAUAAUGGGUACUUUUUUUGGUUUUCCACCCGGUGUCCGGAGCCCACAUUGGAGCUCUGACUAAAUUCGGAUCACGCUCUGCAGGGCCUAUUCGGGGGUGACUCUCCCAACAAGAUUUUCUCCAUACUCAGGGCUCGAAUAUAAUGAGUACUUUUUUUGGUUUUCCACCCGGUGUCCGAAGCCCACAUUGGAGCUCUGACUAAAUUCGGAUCACGCUCUGCAGGGCCUAUUCGGGGGUGACGCUCCCAACAAGAUUUCUCCAUACCCAGGGCUCGAAUAUAAUGAGUACUUUUUUUGAAUGUCUUAAAAGCCUAUAGCGAUAUUGAAUCUAAUGACAAUUAACUAAUGUUGGUAAAGACUUUAACACUCUUUGUUACUGUGUAUAUUUAUUACCGCUAAAAAAUAUUUUUAUUACAGUAAACAAUGAAGAUAAGUUGAUUAAUUAACAAAUUAUUAUUAUUUCGCAAAUUUGAGGCAGUACUUGUAAAAUAGGACAAUAUAAUGGGUACUUUUUUUGGUUUUCCACCCGGUGUCCGGAGCCCACAUUGGAGCUCUGACUAAAUUCGGAUCACGCUCUGCAGGGCCUAUUCGGGGGUGACACUCCCAACAGAUUUUCUCAUACCCAGGGCUCGAAUAUAAUGGGUACUUGUUUGUUUGCUUUUACGUCUAUAUCUCUGAUAAUAAAUAAUAAUGUCAAAAGUUUAUUUUAGAUAGGGACCAAUCAUAAGGCAACUGCACCAACUUGUUUGAAAUAUAUAUAUAUACUUUUAAGAAGUAGCUCCCAUCUUCUCCAUAUAAUUUUUCCCCAAAGUUUAAUUUCUUUUUUGGGGUUUUUCCCAACUAGUGGUGAGAGAGCUGCAUCAUAUAUUUAUUUCUACUUAAUAUAUAUAGGUCUUAUACUACAACAUUAUUCAUCUUUGGGUGGACCCUUUUAGCCUUCCUACCACAAUAUAUAGAUAGAGAUAUUACAAAGAACAUAUCUUUUUUAAUAUAAGUGUAAAAUAUGUAGGUCAAUCGAAUUGUAUUGUCAUAGCUUUGGACCACAAUAUGAGUAGAGUCAUGAGACAAUCUUUUUUUUUAUAAAUAUUGCUUUUCGAUGGUAUUUACAUAGUGUUUAGACAUUUUAUUUGUUUAUUUGUUUGUAUUUCUCUGAUUAGAAAGAUUUCUCAAAGGCAAACAAACACAAGUAAAAGUUGAAAACAUGAUAGAGAGCCUAGCGCGCUCUAUGUACACUAAUUUCAUUCAUUAUUGUUAAAUCUAGUAAGAAAACAUGUUAUAUCAUAUUAUAUAAAAACAUGUUUUACACUAUCAGAUUAUAAACUCUAAUUAACUCAAAAGGGGAAAAAGAGGGACCAGACUAAUUAGUUGAAGAUUAAAAUAAAUAACAUCAGUAGCUGUAGGUUGUACGUGUGACUUAUCGAAUAGGACGUAUAUAGUCUAUGGUCCGCAUAUAUAAUAUUGAAAUGAGACAUUUCAUUGCUCCAAUUAUUAUAAUUAGAAAAUAAUCUAUCUAUCUAUCUAUAUUCUAUAUUACCUUAAAAGCAUGAACUCCUAACUUGAAUGUUAAAUUACUAUAAUAUUUCUAAUUUAAAACACCCAUCUAUAUUUAUAUGAAUAUCAUAUGUUCUCUUAUGAAAGGUUGUUACUUUUUCGAUGAGUUGUAACUUUUCUGAUAAGUUGUGACUUUUUUCAAAGGGUUGUUAUUUUUCGUAUGAGUUGUGACUUUUUCAAUAAGUUGUAACUUUUUCCCAAAAUGGUUGUGAUUUCUCGGACAGGUCAUGACUUUUCAGAUAAGACACAAAAAACACUUGUUCAUACUACCAUUUGUUGACUAUAAAUAAGGGGGCUUCCUCUCAUUUUUAAUACACAAUUUUUUAAAAUCUUCUACUCUUCUUCUUCUUCUUGUAUUUUAAAAUCUUUCAUGUGAUUUAUUGUCGUUUAAUAUGUUCGAAGUUUAGUGGAAUAUGAGGUACCACUAUUCUGAUGAAGUAAAUCGUUCUAUCCUGAGAGGAUAUAUUCCAUAACCUUGAGUACUUGAGGAAAAUAUUUUUUGAUGAUACAAUAAUUAUUUUUUUGCUUAAUAUCUACAGUAGUAUGUAAUGUUCCAAUAUAUGAAGUUAACAUGAUGUAGUCUAAAUUCAUUUGUUUUUUUUAACAAUUUCUCUUGUGAUGCAGAUAUAUGCUUCUGAAUAUCUUUUUUCCAAAAUAAUUUAAAUUCUCAAGAGUUAGAUAAUUGUCACGAUUUGUUUUGUUGACGCUCAAGAUAUAAGAAUGACUUUAUUUAUCAAUGCUACUUAUGUGAUUUAAAUUGUCACGAAGUUUGCUUCAAAAUAGUUAUUGUCAACUCCUAACUUGAAUGUUAAAUUACUAUAAUAUCUCUAACUUAGGUUGUGACUUUUUCAAUGAGUUGUGACUUUUUCGAUAAGUUGUCACUUUUUUCAAAGGGUUGUGAUUUUUUCGAUGAGUUGUGAUUUUUCCAAAGAGUUGUGAAUUUUUCAAUAAGUUGUGACUUUUCUAAAGAAUUGUGACUUUUUCAAAGAGUUGUGACUUCUCUGAAAGGUCAUUACUUUUCAGAUAAGACACAAAAAACAUUUGUUCAUACUACCCUUUGUUGAAUAUAAAUAGAGGGGAUUCCUCUCAUUUUUCAACCACAAUUUUUUAAUCUUCUACUCUUCUUCAUCUUGCAUUUUAAAUAAUUUUGUCUGAUUUAUUGUCGUUGUGUGAGUUCACAGUGUAGUGAAAUAUGAGGUACCACUGAUGAAGUAAUUUAUUCUAUCCUAAGAGGGUAUAUUCAUUAACCUCGAGUACUUGAGGAAAAUAUUUUUUAUGAUAUAAUAAUUAUUGUUUUGCUUGAUAUAUACAUUAGUAUGUUAUGUUCCAAUAUACGAAGUUAACAUGAUUGGAGUCUAAAUUCAUUUUUUUUGUUAACAAUUUCUCUUGUGAUGUAGAUAUAUAAUAUUUCUGAAUAUCUUUUUCCAAAAUUUAGAGAAUUGACACAAUUUGUUUUUGAUGCUCAAGACAAAAUAAUGAAUUUAUUUAUCAAUGCUACUUAUGUGAUUUAGACUCUCAGGAAGUUUGCUUCAAAAUAGUUAUUACUAUGUAAACAUUGCCCUUUUGUNNNNNNNNNNNNNNNNNNNNNNNNNNNNNNNNNNNNNNNNNNNNNNNNNNNNNNNNNNNNNNNNNNNNNNNNNNNNNNNNNNNNNNNNNNNNNNNNNNNNNNNNNNNNNNNNNNNNNNNNNNNNNNNNNNNNNNNNNNNNNNNNNNNNNNNNNNNNNNNNNNNNNNNNNNUCAUUAAUGCAAAUAUAUAUUUAUAUUUGGGUAGGUAUUUGUAUUUAAAUUAAAGUAUUAUAUACGUUACAAAUGUAUUAUCAAGUUAACAAGAUCUUCUAACUUCAAAAUAUAUUAUUUUAAAAUGUUUCGAGUGCUUUUUUUUUUUGAAAAAAAAAAACUCACAUCAAAUGUUAAAACAUGUGAAUAUAUAAAAUAUAGUUGUUCUCUUCACAUGUUCAUUUGACAUCUAAACAAUUUAACGGGAAAUACACAUGCAAAGCACAUCUGUUAGAUGACAAGAAAAAUACAAAACAAAUAAUGUAAUAUUAGUGAGAUAAAACUAAUUACAUGAUUGAACUUCAUCAAAUUGAAAUAAAUAUAUAUAUUAUUGCAUUUAACUAAUAAAUUUUUUCAUUGACCAUCUUCAUAGGUUUGCGUGAAAAAGAGAUAUAUAUGACGAUCCACAUUGAACAUUCACAAAAGAAUCUGCAAUAUUAUUUUUUACUAAGCUUAUUAAUCAAAUCUUCGCUAUAAUAAGCAAUACUAUAUUUACUAUAACAUAUAUUUUUGGAAUUGGCAAUCACGUGCAACGCAUGUGUCAAAAAACUAGUAAAAUAUAAAAGAUACAAACUAGUAUUUUAAGCAUACAUGUAAGUUUUAAAUUUUACUUCUUUUAAGUAGAGAGUUCUAAAUCAAUAUUUUUUAAAUAUAUUUUUUAAUAAUUUUAAAAUUAUAAAUAUUAAUAAAUUCCGUGUAACCCAAGGUUAGCUCCGCUCUCGAUUUCUUGUGAGAAUCGACAUGGUUUUAUCUUUAUGAUGAACAAUGAGACUUUUUGUGCGAAGAAAAUUAUGUACAUAAUAAAUAUCACACGUGAUAGAUGUUUGAAAUAAAUAGACAUGCAUCAUGUUUGUGGAGGCUUAACCCACCCCCUUAUAAAUUGAUCCACAUGAUAAAUGUAGUGAUAGUUUAGAUAAAUAGUGAUCAUUUAAAUAAAUAAAGAGAAUAGUAAAUAGAUAAAAUAUAAAAUUCGUAACAAGUAAUAAUUUAAAUUUGAUUUUAACAGCUCUUAUUUCUCUACUCUAAGCUUUUCGUGUAAGUGCUACGCGGUAUAUGGGUUUUUAGUCCUAAUAUGGGAAAGGGAAAUCUAUGAAUAAAGUAGUAGUUACGGGAAAGGUGGAAUGGUGGACCCUCAUCAAUCGAUAAUGCUCUUCAAAUUGUCAAAUUUGGAUUAAUUGAAACACGUGAAAAUGUUAAAUAAAAAAUUAUGAAUUAAAACAAGUCAUCUCAAAAUAAGUUAUUUCACUAUAUAUAUGUCGUAACUUAUUCAAUCACCAAAGUAUAAAUGGUGGAACAAAUAUACAAUAAUCCAAGGAUUACCUAAUACUUCCAACCAAACGCAAUAUCUUAAAAAUUAUUAUACCUUAUACCUCACACAAAACAACUCCUAAACGUCAUUGAUUAGACAAAGAUGGAAAUUGAAGGUUUUCUUCUCAAGGCACUACAAUUACAACUUUUGACUUAAUUGAAUGGCAGAAAAUUUAUGAAGGCUUUUGAGGCCAUGGUAUAAAGAUAAAACUAACCCCUGUUUGAAGUUAUUGAUUGUAAUAAUUUGACAAGAUGUAUCCUCACUAAUUAAUCAACUUAUGAGCAUCAUUAUGUCUACUAAUAACUUAAUUACUGCACACAAUUCAUUCUCCUUCUUUUAAUCUACAUUCUACGCUAUGAUUCAGUUAUGAUCAUGACUCUAAAGAAUCUUUUGUGGUUGGUCGAUCCAACCUGAUUUCCCCAAAUUUUCUUAAAUUAAAAUCUGUAUGAGCGAGUUAAGAUUCAAGUAACUUUAAUUUGCUCAUUGAAUCUUAGCCAAACAUAAAGAAUUUACCUUGUAUUUUCUUGUCUUUAUCUUUUGUUUUAUUGAGCACUAAAUCACAUUCCAGGAGAAAAAAAAUAGUUUAUUAAUUUGGAAAAAUAUAGUGAACAAAAAUGGGUGAGUCAAGUUAAGUAAUUAAAUACUAGUAAUCUAUAUUCUUAUAAUAUUAAAAUCAUAGAUAUCAAAACAGGAUAGGCAAAAAUAUUCCCAAAAUAUUACUAAUCAUCUUUUAUAUCCUUUGAGGACUAAAUUAUAUUUUUUAAAGAAAUAACUUCACAUCGAACAAAACGGUAAUAUUUUGGUGUAAUAUUGGUGAAAUGGAAGAUUUUAAAUUAUGCGAUGUCUUUGGUUAAAAUUCAUACUCUUCACAUCUCCAUUAUUAGAUAAAAUUAUCUUUAGAAUAAAAUGCACAGAUCACAAAAAAAAAGGUAAUAGAAUAUCAUAUUUAUGAUGAAUAUAAUUCUAAUUUUAUAUAAACUUUAAUUUCUACACAAUAACAGUAACAUAAACUAAAUAGAUUCACCGUAAAAUUUAUAAUACUAUAAUUUUAGGAAUUUCUUUAAAAAUAAAAACUUGUCGUAGGAAUACAAUUUUUCCUUAUCAAAAAAGAAAAGACAAAUACAUCUAUAUGUUUUACUAGAUAUGUCUAUUAUCGUGCUAGAUUAUAUUUUAAACCAAACAUAUUUCUAUGUUAUAAAAUUUGUAAUAUUUGGAACUCUACCUUAUAUAGGAAUUUGAAUAUAUUUUAGUUCCUUUAAAUUUUGGGAUUUGAAAAAGAAAAAGCACAAUUGAAACAAAUUCCAAGUUGGCAUCAAAGAAGGAAUACAUAAAUGUAGUUAAAACAAAUAUCAUUUUAUCUAAAAAUGAAAUAAAAAAUAAUUGCAAAGUUGUAAAAUCAUUAUCCCAGCAGAAAAUAUGUAUUUAGAUAAAAAAUAAGGGAGUUGUAGAGAAAUUCUUUUUACAAAUUUUGCGUCGAAAAAGAAAAGGCAUGCAUUUGGAGUAAUUUCAGCUCAAAAUCUUUAAAUGAAUUAUAUUAGUUUUGUCACUCCUAAAUUUAGGUGUAUUUGAUGAACGCUUAAUUUUAUUUUCAUCAAUUAAAUUUCGCAUUUAGGAAUAAUUGAAUACUUAAAAAAAUUGUAGACAAGUUUUAUCUCUUGCGAAGAUAAAAUUUAAAUAGCGAUAUCUAAAGGAGCCAUUAGUUAUAAUAUUUUUAACUAAUUAUAGCUUGUCUUCUUUGUCAGAAAAGCAAAAUAUGACAAGUUCGUAUUAAUAAUGAUUCUUUUUUAUAUUAUCAGUAUGCUUCAACUUGUUUAUUGCAGGUUAUUUGAUAUUGUUUCAAGUUACUAGAUUGUGCUUAUUUUUAAUAGUCACCUAUGAUCGCAAGUAAUUUAAUUUGAUAGUGUAAAAAAUUAAUAACUUGAAGAAAAUUUAAAACUCCGAAAAGGGAAAAAACAAGUCAAAAUGGGUCGAAAAGAAUCAUACGGGUUGGAUUGGAUUGGGCUGGGUUAACUAGUUGCCACCAGUCAGGCCCAGACUUUAUAUUAGUUAUUUAUGGUAUCCUAUUUAUGUCAUUUUGUUAGACCAAGUCCAAACGAAUUAAUAUUAGGCCCAUUAGGAAAAGUUCUACAAAACAUUUCCAAAAUUGAAUUAAUUUUAGGCCCAUUACAACCAUCAUCAAUUACUACGGUCAGUUGCUAUCAUCUUAGUUAUUACAAUUAUAUUCAAUGUUACCAUCACAAUCGCCAUGAUGACAUCGUCACCUCCAUUAUUACUGCUAGUCACUACAAUUAGUCCAACAAAUCUCUAUUACUAACCAUUUUCACCAUCACAACUAGCACGAUUGUCAACUAUCACCAACAACAUUACAAAUUCUUCAGUCAUUACCAUCAACACUGUUAAUUACUAACAUCGACCUGUCAUUAUCAUGCUAAAUCACUUUAUACCAAUAAUUUUCACCGUCACAACUGUCACCACCAUCAUUACUAAUUGCAAUUACCAAUUGUUACCACUAUCACUUUUACAAACCAUCUUCACCAUCACUAACGAACACAAUUUUUAAUGAUUUACUUUAUUAAAUUUAUAUUCUUCGAAUAUCUAAUUACUUUUUCAUUUUAAUUAUAUAUUAUUGUGUUUAAAAAUACAUUGCAUAUACAGAUGUUGAAAAACAUAUAGUUUUAAUCAUUUAGCGUUAAGAUUUAUCGAUAAUAUCUUAAUUAUUCAACUGUGCAUUAUUUUAAAGUUAUAAUUUUAAAGAAAUUAAAUGAAGUCUUACUCUCUUACUUGUUUUUUGCACACCUUAUCCUUAUUUAUUUAUAUCAAUUUAAUACUGUUUUUUUAUUACAUUAAUCAUUCUUUCACACAUUUAUUAAAUUAAUAAUAAAGCCAGAACACAUAAUUUAGUAGAUGGACUACUUGCACAUGAAUUUAGUAGAGAUAAUUUUUUUAGGAGAUAAAUUACGCUACUUGUAAAAUUAUAUGUAUGAUUUACAAAGGAUAAUAGUAGAAAAAAUACGAUUUAAAUUAUGUCCAUAAAUGUUGUUGACACCCAAUUUUGACCCUCCACAAUUUAAUUAAUUUUCAAGCUUCUUAAAUUGCAAACAUAUUGAAGUAAUUGUUUUGGAAAAAAUAAAAAAAUACUUGUGAAAUCAUUUUCAAGGCAAUUUUCCAUUUUUACUAUAAAAUAUAUCUCUAUAUACUUAAAAUAUAUAGAUUUAUAUAAUUCUUUCAAUUUGAAUAAAUAGUUAGUAAAUCGUUUUACCAAAAAUAGAGUUUUAAGUAAGUACGCAUAUUAUUUCCUUUAAAACUGAUGGCGAUUUAAUAAAGAUCUUUCUUUUCAAAAUAAUUAUUUUGUAUUGUUGAAAUUAAGAAGUUUGAGUAAUUAGUUGAGUCUAUAAUUUGUCUCAUUUCCAUUUUAUCAAGUUUGAAUUAAUUGAAGAAUUUGGUUUUGAUAAAAAUAAACCAAUGGAUCAAGUCCCUUCAGCCUUUUUAAUUUCCUACAUACGCCCAAUUUAAAAAAAUAAUCCGGCCCACUUCUUCUCCUAAUACCCAGUACUCUGUACUCUUCUCCCUCACGUACGCACAUAGUGUAUUAUGUUUGUUGCUUUGUUGAUGGCUGUUAAUUUAGAGAUGUGAAUGUGAUUCUUUUACUUAGUCGAAUUCAUAUAUCUAGAUAUGUGCUUUAGUUAUUGUUAUUCUUAUUCGAUUUUGAAAUCCAUGUUAAUAUAGUUGCCGAUUUCUCUUCGUUGCCUUCUUAAAGAUAUAAGUUGUAUAUUCUGUCACUUCGAGUUUGUUUGGACUUAAAAUGUUACGUUAAGCUUCGCUGCUCCUAAAAUGUGUUUUCGGCUAAAUUCUUGUAUAUUUUGAAACAACCAAAUUGCUGUUACUCCGGCUAGUUUUUCUUUAUUAUCGUAGCAUGUUUGCUUGGAUCUCAGUUUUGGUGCAGUUGACUGUCGUUCUUGUGAUUAAAAGUUAUUCUAGCUCGAGUUGAAGCUUUUUUCCUUUCUUUCUCUCGAGUAUGGACUUGUUUGUUACUUCCAAAUAAAAUAGAUAUAGUCAUUUGAUUUAAGUGUAUAAUUUUCUGAAGUAUGUUCUGUCAUGUGUGAAAUUUGACUAUUACCAUUGAAUUCUUGGUUCCUUUUUCCUGCAUUAAUCGUUUGUUUAUGAAUUUGGAAUAUGAGUUCUCGAUUUUCUGUAUGCUUUCGUUCAUAACCUGUCGUAAUAGCUACUUGUAGUUUUCUUAAGAACUAGGAAUGAUUUAUAUUUGUUCUUAUGUCUGAGAAUUCAUAUUACUUUUUCUUCCAACAGUUUUAUUGUUUCCAGGAGCGUAUUUACCUGGCCAAAGGUCUCUUGUGUUUACUAAAUUUUUUGACUUAAUCUUUUGUUUCUCUGUUUGCUGUUGUAAAUUUUAAAAGUUACAACGAAUUGUUAAAUUGUCCCAUUCCUUGUCUACUUGCUGAUUUUCUGUUUUUCUUAAAUCCGUGACUAAAAGUUAUGUUUAUGUCUUUUCUUAGUUUGAACGUGAAAAAAAUAUGUUAUGAUUGGAAAUUAAUUGCCUUCUCUGUUUCUGUUGGCUUUCUCUUGUAUUGGAUAGACUUAAGUUAUAUUUUUAAUUGUUGUGCCCCUCUUCGAUUAGUUACUAAUUCUUAUCCUUUGUUUUCAUACGCAUGAAUUCUCUCCCAUUUGAGUCCAUUGGACUCCAUCAUCUUUUGCAUAUUCAUCUCUUCGGGUUUUUUUUCAAGUCGUAAAAGGGAAGCCAAUAUUAUCGAAUUAAAUUUCAAACCUGGCAGCAGCUCAGUAGAGGAGUAAUAACAAUCCUAAAGGGCUGAAAUUCAAAUUUUGGACUCUCAAAAGUCCACUAAAAACAGCAGCAGCAGCCUCAAAAGGCUGAAAAAUGAGGAGCAAAAUUGGGUUAAAACCCAUAAUUAUUGAGGCCGAGUUGCAGCAGUUUCAAAGGGCUGAAAAUAGCAUUUUUUUCGGACUUAAAAAGUUCGAAAAUAGCGCCAGCAACAGCAGCCUCAAAAGGCAGAAAAAUGAGAUGCAGCAAGUGGACUUAAAGUUGUCCCAAUUCUAUUAGCACUUUGUCUCCUAUCAUAUUGUGAUUUUGUGAUAUUUGCUUUUAAGUUCUAACAUUUAUUUUAUCUAACUUAGAUGAAUCCUUGGAAGUUUUUAAAUAACUCUUCUAUUUGGUUUGUUGUUUACUUUAAGUAUUUAAAUUUUCAAAACUCUUUCAAGUUAGGCAACUUAAGCUCUUAGACUAACUUGAGAAUUAUUCAUAUUCUUUCAUAGUUAGUAAUUAGCUUUGAAUCCACGUUGAUGAGAUUGAGCUAACCAUUUAGUUCAAAAUCUUAACUCGGAUAAAAUGUUAAGUUAAAAUUAUUGUUUUGACACUUUAGCAUUUGAUUUAUUUCAUUACUUGGAAUAAGAAAUAAAAUUAGACUAGUAUAAGUAUCAAAAGACUUUUGUUAUUUUAAAACAAGAUUUUUCACAAGUAAUCUUAAAUUAGCCAAACUUUUCAAUCCGUCGGUCAACCGCGUGUUAGCGGAUUCUCUAAGAUGCCUAAACCCUUCUUAGAGAAUUAUUUGAACCAUUACCUGACUCUGGUUUAUUUAAAAUGUUUUUCCUAAAAAUUAAGUGGCGACUUUCAAAUUAUAAUUUUUUCAAAACUUAACAAAACUGCCAAAGUUGCGAAAAUGGUUUCGAAAUCUUAAUUUUUGAAACCGGGUCGUAAUAAAUGUUUUAUUAAUAAGUGUGCAUUAUUUCAAAAAUUCAAUUAAUAUGAAAUAGAGGGAGUAAUAUUUUUAUAGAAAAAUUUAAUAGCCUAAAACAUGUCAUUAGAAAAUUUAAAAUUAAACAACAUAAAAAAAUAGACAUUAGUAGUAUUUAUAAGUUACUAAAAAAAGAAAGACAACUAUAUGAAAACACGGAAAAAGUUAACAAAAAGAUUUCAGUUUUUUCGUUUCCGACUAUAACAAGGAUUUGGAGCUUUUUUCCUAUAAAAAGCGACUCCCUCUAUUCUCUCUUUUGUAUUUCUAAAAUUUACGAAAGAUUUCUAUAAGUUAACAAACUUUACCAGUUUACAGCAAUCGCAAUGGAUUCUUCAGUCGUGGAGGGCGGCGCGUCGCUCCGUUCGCCAGGUACCGACGCUACAAACCGCCGUGUUUCUUAUUUCUUCGACUCUUCCAUCGGCGAGUAUUAUUACGGCCAGGGUCAUCUAAUGAAGCCUCACCGUAUUCGUGUUGCCCACAAUCUUAUUUUAAACUAUAAUCUUCACCGUAAGAUGGAGAUAAUUCAACCGUUUCCGGCGACUAAGGAGGAAAUCGGAUGGUUCCACUCGUCGGACUAUGUGGAGUUUCUCUCUUCAGUUUCUCCGGAGAUUGUUAAUGAUAAGUACGAUUCCUACCAACGUAGACGCUUCAAUGUCGGUUCGGACUCGGAAAGCUUUGACUGCCCUCUUUUUUAUGGUCUUUUUGAUUUUUGUCAAACUUCAGCUGGUGGCUCAAUUGGCGCCGCCGCUAAGCUUAAUCGGAAUGAAGCUGAUAUAGCUAUCAAUUGGGCUGGUGGGUUGCAUCAUGCAAAGAAAAGUGAAGCUUCUGGAUUUUGCUAUGUCAAUGAUAUUGUUCUUGGAAUUCUAGAACUUCUCAAGGUCCACAAGGUAAAUACUAUAUACUCUGUUUUUAUUACUGUAAAUAUUUUCAUGAGUAUUCAUGUUAGCUCUGUUUUUCUCUGUUUCGCUUAUAUUAUUUGUUCCGCAAGUAAUAUAUCAAAGGCUGUUUUUUCCCUUGAAAAAGUCGAGCUAUUUGUGUGUUAUUGAGAACUGUUGCUUACUUGAUCGAAGGCUAGGCUCUAUUUGUUCUUAGGUGUGUGGCUUUUUUUUGUUCAUAUUGUUGUUGAGUCUGACUUGGAUUGGCGUUGAUGUAUAUUAAAAAACGAAAUUUUGAAUGUGCUUCUAUCAUUUGAGUUUGUAAGCAAUAUGUUAAUAAUGGUCUUGAGGAUGUAGAAAAGGAUUAUAGACCGGAAGACAUUGUCGAUUUCAGUAUAAUUUAAUGUAUUGUUGUCUGUAAAGAAGUAUUACUAUAUUAUUUUCUGAUAUUUUGUUGAUUAGGUCAUACUUAAUUGGAUGGACCUAGUAAUUUGGAGUCCAAAAUACUUAAAAAUCGUUACUUAGUUGAUCGCUGAUAUGAUUUCAAUAAUUGUUGUUAAUUGUGUAUAAGUGUGAUUUGUAGGCCAUAGCUGGAUAACAUCUUUUGCCUUUGCCAGGAGAACUGCUUGUUACAAACUAUUGUUUCUUUAACAUGCUCAUUGUUGUUGUGCAGCGUGUAUUGUAUGUAGACAUUGAUGUUCAUCAUGGGGAUGGAGUUGAGGAGGCUUUUUACACCACUGAUCGGGUUAUGACAGUGUCUUUUCAUAAGUUUGGAGACUUCUUUCCUGGUACAGGGCAUGUCAAAGACAUUGGUGCAAGUACCGGGAAGUACUAUGCCUUAAAUGCACCAUUGAAUAAUGGUAUUGAUGAUGAAAGUUUCCGUAGUCUAUUCCGUCCUGUAAUCCAAAAAGUGAUGGAGGUUUAUCAACCUGAAGCUGUUGUUCUUCAAUGUGGUGCUGAUUCACUAGCCGGAGACAGGCUGGGUGUCUUUAACUUGUCUGUCAAAGGCCAUGCAGAUUGCAUUCGAUUCCUCAGGUCUUUCAAUGUCCCUUUAAUGAUGUUGGGUGGUGGAGGUUAUACUGUUAAAAAUGUUGCUCGGUGCUGGUGCUAUGAGGUGAAUCUCUUUAAUCUCUAUUUCUCCGUUUUGGUGCUUUUUCCUGUCUAUGCAUUUUCACCUAUUACCUUUUACUUGUCUUAUAAGUUGUUGUGCUAAGUUUGAACUUCUUCAAUGUUUACAGACAGCAGUUGCAGUUGGAGUAGAGCCUGAUAAUGAUUUGCCUUACAGUGAGUUUUACGAGUAUUUUGCCCCUGAUUAUAUUCUAUAUCAUGAAUCAUUACCCAUGAAGAAUGAGAAUUCUCCCUCGGAACUAGAGAGGAUCAGGUAAUCUGAACAUCAUUCUUUUAGGGCUUGCUUUUAGUGAACUGUCAGAAAAUACUAUCUAAUAAUGUUCGAAUCUUUGUGAAGCAUUAGCGAGUGUGAGAUGAUGUUAUUUAACAUGAAUAAUUGGUGGGUGCAGGAACACUUUGCUGGAGCAACUCUCGCAUUUACCCCAUGUACCUAGUGUUCCAUUUCAAGUGACACCUUCCGUAACAGAAGUUCCAGAAAAGGUCAGCACUAGUUUAUCUUCAAGAUCAUUUGAGUUUCUAUGUAUAUUAUCCAACCUGAUCCUCAUUUAACAAUUUAUGUAUCCAGGAAGACGAAAAUAUGGAUCAAAGGCCUAAGCCAGGGAUACAGAUGAGCCAGGAUUACGAUACUGAUGACGAGGAGAAGUCAAAUAACGGAAAGUUCAGUAAUUACUACAAUUACUUCAACAAUGAGAACUGACAUGAGGUAAGGCCUUCAAGUUAUCUUCUACACACACUUGAAACAACCAUCCCAUGCCUGCUAAUUCGAACCUAAAUCUCUUUUUUGUUUCUUUUGGAACCCAUAUGGGGAAACCUGCAGCCACCACUGUUUGGGUGCGCACUGAGUGAAUCCGCUCCUCCUAUUUUCCUAUGAAGUUUUAGUUCCCUUAGAAAUUGCAGUAUAAUUUGCUUUGCUUGAAACUGAAUUGUGGUGUGGUUUGUAAUGCAGGUUACUUUCAAUACAAAGUCAAAAAUGAGGACAUGAUUUGAUUGGAGGCCUCUGAGACUAAGCUGUUCAACAUGUGUCUAUUAACAAAUUUUCUGUUUAGUUUGGAUGAGAAAUGAUAGAAACUCAUAGUAAGAUGUUAUUUGUAGUGAUGUAAUUAUAAUAUACAUUAUAACUUUGUUUAUUUGGUGAAUAGAGAUAUGAGCAUAUACUUAAGUUAUUCGAGAAAAUGAGCAACAUACUCGUUUACCAUUUCAAUAAAAGAAAAUAAUAAUAUCUGGUGUGUUAUUUACAAAUUUCUUAUGUUUUAAAAUAAAAAUUCUAGUAUUUUCUUUUUAGAUGCAAUUAAAAGUAAAUAAAGUUAUAAUGGUACAAAAUCACUCUAUGUAGCCCACAAGAUCUAUGAGUAAUUUCCUUGGAUAGUCACUCAUGUUUGGAAAUUACCUAGGAAUAUCACUUAUGUUUGUUUUAGGACCACAAUAUCACCCAACUUUAUCUCUUUUUCUCAAAAUAUACUUGACAAAAAAAAAACACUAUCUCUCUCCUAAUAGGAUGCCAUGACACAUUAUUCUUUUUUUAUUAUUAACAUUUUUUUAAAAAAAUUUAGACAACCCAUAUUACCUAGUAAAAAAAAAUUACAUAGCCCAAAAUUUUUUACCCUAGUUCUGGGGGAUUAGGCGGCAAAUUCAAAUAUGAGCUUCUCCGAUUCUUCAAGAAAAUAUGUGGCUUCCUUCGGUUUUUUCAAGCGAGAUAAUGUUUUUAUAUGGGCACUAAUGGGCAAUGACACCUUUUUGUUGAGUCCGGAGCAAAAAAGACAAAAAAAAAUCUUUAAAAAACAAAAGCGACACAUCAAAAAAAAUUUUUAACCAAAAGGGAAAAAUCGUUCCUGACGAAGCGAUUUUGUUCUGACAAAAAUUGACGUCAUUCCGCUAAAAGAAAUAAAAAUCGUUGCCUUCGCAGGGAUUUUCUCAAAAAAUAUAAUUAAAACUGAAGUCAGCGAUUUUCAUAAAAAGCUUUUUUUUACAAAAAUCUUUACCCUUUCAGCGAUUUAAAUGAAAUUUAAAAAAAAAAAAAAAACUGAAAACCGCUGCCUCGGCAGCGAUUUUUUCUUUAAAAAACUUGUUUUUUUUAAAUGGCUGCUGCCGAAAAUUUAUGUAAUUUAAAACUUGUUCUUUAUGUUUUUUUUUUAAUUCUUUAACAAAAAUAGUUUUUUUUUUAUAAAAACGCUACUAUAGCAGCGAUUUUAAAGAAAUAAUGAUUAUUAUUUUUUGAGAAAAUCGCUGCUUUCUCUCGCGAUUUUUAUUUCUUUUAACGGAACGACGUCAAUUUUUGUCAGGAGCAAUUUUGCCCUUUAUGGUUAAAAAAAAUUUUGAAGGAAAAAAAUGACCCUUUUGACUUUGGACUCCCUUUUUGUUGAUAUUUUAUUCAUUACAGUAAUAAGGUAACCAUAUUGUCAAACUACAAAUGAUAUAAUGUUUUUAAAGAAUUAGAAAAAAUGUUAAUAAUAAAAAAGGAAUAAUGUGACAUGGCAUCCUAUUAUGAGAGAGAUAAUGUUUUUUUUGUGUCAAGUAUAUUUUGAGAAAAAGAGAUAAAGUUAGGUGAUAUUGUGAUCCUAAAACAAACAUAAGUGAUAUUCCUAGAUAAUUUCCCAAACAUGGGAAACUGUCCAGGGAAAUUACUCCAAGAUCUAUAUGCUAAUAGAUACCCGAGAGACUGAAUCCCCGGGGAGAGAGAAAAGACACAUUACUCCUAAAAAAUGUGCAACUAACCUUUUCCAUUCCGUUUUCUUCCGUGAAAUCUAAUCUCAUAGAGUUCAAUUUCCAUUCUCAAUCUAUGUACCCUAUAAGUUCGAGGCUUCCUUCGUAACUCGGGGAACUGUUUAAGGUAUAUUAGUCAAGCGAGAGCUUUUACUAAUUCUUAGAAACUGGGGUAUAAAGUAUAAAUCAAAGUUCAAACUCAACAUAAUUUUUACAAAAAAAAAUCAACAAAAAGUUGUUUGAAAUGUGCUGAUGUUCAUCCCCUUCAACUCCCUUCUUGCUCAACUGUCAAAGCCGAAGCUUCCAAUCUCAAGAACCAAAGAGCUUCACGCUUUCAUAAUCAAGACUCAUCUCUCACACGACCCAUUUUACGCUACAAGAAUUAUAAGAUUCUAUGCUCUAAACAACGACAUCAUCUCAGCACACAACCUGUUUGAUAAAACUCCCCACCGAAGCAUUUACCUGUGGAACUCCUUAAUUCGAGCUUAUGCUAGAGCCCACAAAUUUAGAAAUGCAUUUUCGCUGUUUAAUGAUAUGCUUUAUUCUGAAAUAAUGCCUGAUAACUUCACUUAUGCAUGCCUUGUAAAAGCCAGCUCUGAGAAUUUUGAUUUGCACAGCUUAAGAGUUUUACAUGGAGGGGUUGUUCUAUCUGGGUUGCAGUUGGACUUUAUCUGUAGUAGUCAACUGGUAAGUGCUUAUUCAAGAUUAGGCUGUAUAGCUGAUGCAAGCAAGGUGUUUUCUGGGAUAACGGGACCGGAUUUGGUCCUAUGGAAUUCGAUGAUAUCAGGUUAUGGGGGUCUUGGGGAAUUGGAGAAGGGGAUAGAGUUGUUUAGUGAAAUGCAGAUAAUGGGGGUGCGGCCUGAUGAGUACUCAAUGGUAGGCCUGAUUAUGACUAUAGAUGAUCCCAGUGUGCUGAUUAUAGGUGAAGCAAUCCAUGCAUUUUGUUUAAAACUUGGUGUAGAGUCGAAUGAUCAUGUAAGCAGUCUUCUUGUUAGUAUGUAUUCUAGGUGUAAAUGUAUGGGUUCAGCAUUUAGCGUCUUUGAUAGUCUUGUAGAACCUGAUUUAGUUACAUGGUCUGCUUUAAUAAGUGGUAUUUCGCUGUGUGGGGAUAGUGUCAAGGCCUUGGAUUUCUUCAGAGAAAUGAAUAUGAAAGGUGGGAAGGCAGAUGCAUCGCUGAUUACCACUGUACUAACUGCUUGUUCUCAGUUGGCAAAUGUGCAGCCAGGCAUUGAGACACAUGGUUAUGCUUUUCGACAUGGAUAUCACUCGGAAGUUAUGGUCUCCUCUGCUCUACUUGACAUGUACUCGAAAUGUGGGUUCUUGGAAUUGGGAUAUCAAGUUUAUGAGACUAUGGUUUUCAAGAAUAUUGUUUCAUACAAUUCAAUUAUUUCAAGUCUUGGUUUAUAUGGACUUGCAUCUCAGGCCUUUGAGAUAUUCGAGAAGGCACUGGAGGAAGGGCACAAACCUGAUGAAGCUACUUUUUCUGCACUUCUUUGUGCAUGUUGCCAUGCUGGUCUUGUCAAUGAUGGUCGAGAAUAUUUCAGAAGAAUGAAAGAUCAAUUUGGCAUCUCAGCUAACACCGAACAUUAUAUUUACAUGGUAAAGCUUCUUGGAAUGGAAGGACAAUUAAGAGAAGCUUAUGAACUUGUUCAAUCUCUGCAAGAACCAAUUGACUCUGGCAUUUGGGGGGCACUAUUAUCAUGCUGUGAUGCUCAUAGAAAUUAUGAGGUCGCAGAUAUUGUAGCUUGUCGUCUUUUUGGGAAUAAGCUAGAGAAUAAUAGUUACAGAAUUAUGCUUUCAAAUAUGUAUGCUAGUGAUGGGAGGUGGGAUUUGGUAAAUAAGUUGAGAGUAGAUUCUGGAUUAACAAAGUUGAAACUUCCUGGAAAAAGCUGGAUUACUAGUAAAAAACAUUCCUUUGAAAGGAACUCUUGAAGUGUCUUCUGCGACAUCUUUCACGAGUUAACAGUUGCUGAAUCUAGGAUCAGAAGCUGCGAGAGGAGGUAGGAUCAAUCUAAUUUCCUUGUCAUGAAGGGAAAUUUUAUCAUGUAAUUCCAUAACAAAUAGAAAAAAAGAUAGUUUGACCCAUUCUGCACCUGAACAUGAUUCUAACAAGUUAUGGAAGGUUCAUCUCCUCACUUCUGUGUCUUCUUCCACAAAAAGUUUUACCAUGAAUAAUUCAUGAUUGUUAAAAACAUGAUGUCAACAGACGGUUAAGGCAUGAUAACUGAAACUUAUGUAAAGCUAAAACAUACAAGAACAGCUUACGAUCUUUGUUGUUCUGCACUUCGUUGAUCAGUUAUGUAGUCCUUAGGAAAUGGAUGACGAAGACCUUUUUUUUUUCUUUAGGUCUCUGUUCUGUUAUGAAAGUUCAAUCUGCAUGAUUUCAAACUGGUGGCCACUUGACUGCUCAAGAAUGGUGGCAAAUCAUUUUCAUCACACAAGUGUGUAGAAUGCAGCCAUGGAAUGUUUAGGUAAAAUAGAAGAAACCAGAAGUCUUCCUCUUUUUUCUUUUUAUCUUUUGAGAGCCAUGGAAACCUCUCUCUCCCUCUCCCUCUCCGUACAUUCAUAUUUAAGAGGCUUCUCCAUUCUUCUAAGAGAGUAGAGAGAUGACUAGGGAGUUACUGCUGUUUGUUCGCUGUUCCGGAAAGACUGCUUCAUUUUUCUCGCUUUGUACAUUGGUGGAACUAUGUGUUGAAGCAUUUACAAGAUUAUGCAUAUGGGGUCUUUGUGGCUUUGAGACCACUGGCUUGUUUGUUACUCUUUACAUCAGAAAAUCUGUGGAUCAUCCUAAAGCUACAGUGUUAAAGUUAGGUCAACGUCUAUUACUUCCCUCGUUUCACCAUAAGUUCAUGGUUACAUAGAAUCAGUACUCAACUGUGAAUGACAAUUAAACUUUUCCCACCUUCUGUUCAAUUGUUCACAAAAUUAUCUCUGCUGUUACGAAAGAUUUUAUUAAGGAUACUUGGAAUUUUCAACUUUGCUGCAUGAAUAUUAUUCUCCCCGGAUAAAAAAAAAGAAAGGGAGAAAAAAAGAAAAAAGAAAUCAUGAUGUUGUAUUUCUGAUUUAAUAGGUAUCUUGUACAGGUUGUUGUAGUGUCUCACUAAAUGUUGUUUAUUUGGAGUGUGGAUUAAAUCUGAGCUGUUGCAUAGUAUGAAGGAAGUUAUUCCGUUGAACGGAUUUUCUGUGCAUAUGUUUGGAAGAAUACUAAUAGCGCUGCAUCAUGUGUAAUGCGCUAUGAAAUGCCUCUAUUAAGAACUUCUUAAGAAUUGUUGUAGGUUCUCAUAAUUUGAACAAGUAUGUGCACUAUUGAUAUUGACAUCUUUUAGACCAUUAACAUAAGUCAUCGAAAAAUGUCUCUAACAUGAGGCAAGAAGUACAUUGUCUGCAGGCUCGGUUCUCCUUGGUGCAGUCAUCAUGCGUUUCAUAGUUGUGUUUGCAUGCUUCAAGACUCUGAAGGACAGGCAAAGUUUCUUUUGUAAAUAUGGUAUGAUAAAUUGUGGUAUCAACUGAAAUUUCUCUGAGGCCAAACAUUAUACAAGGCAUUUAUAAGUAGAGAUAUUUAACUUAAAGAGCCGGAAAGUGGAAUAAGUAGGAGUUGAAAUGUUAGAAGUCAUAUGCAGGACUGGUUCUCACCAUCGGUGCAUUUAGUCUAUGAAACAAGACCUUUUUCCUGACCAAUUGUGUUCUAAUCAUUGCACCUUGAUUCCUACUACAUUCUAUCAAUUAUAUCGAUCAACUUUAGCUAAAUCUCAAACUAGUUGAUCCUUCCACGUUUUAUUGCCACUAAAUUUGAACAAUAUAUGCAUGUGUAAAUAGUUUGUGGGAGUCUUUUGGUGUGUAAUCAAUCCCAUUGUCAAUUGCUAUAGCUACAUCUUUGGUUGGUAUUCUCGGUCUUUUCCAUGGCAGUGUGUUAAAUCUUCGCUAAACUUCAUUUAUGUUAAUUGAACUUUUGAAAGUUUUUAAGAUUCAAGUAUUUGAAAUGCAUUUUUCUUCAAGUUGCUAUACUUGCUAAAGGAGGCCAAGUGUGCUAAUAUAUGAUAUGGGUGUGUAAGCUAUUUGAUAUAGUUAAAGCAGGCUGUCAUUUUUAUUAUAUGAUCAGUUGCUCAGUCAGUAUUGGAAUCCUUACCCCUAGAUGCAAUUUUAGUGUUCUAACUGAUUGCUAUCUAAUGUUGCAUAAACAAACAUUUGCGCUGAGGUUUUAGAACUCUUCUAAAAUGCACACUUUUAAAUGUGUUAAAACGCACAUUAGCUGAUUUAUAAAAACAGUUUUAUAAGAUACCGUGCGUCAAUGACACUUCUGAAUAACUUUGCUAGUUGCAUCACUAACAUAUUUUUCUUUCAUUUUGUGGGAGGGACUUGAUGUUUGAAGGCUUGAAGAAAUCCUGGAUCAUAAAUUCAGUUGCCCGACAAAUUUGCUACUUCAAGUGAAAGGUAUCACAGGUUAGAAACAGCUCUCCUACAUAAGCAGGACAACUAGUGGCUUCUGUUUGUUCGUUGUUAGCUUUGUGCAUCAAAUUGGUUGCUUCUCAAAGACCCAAAAUUAUUUAUAAUAAGGUUAAGAAGAAAACAUUAUGGCAAUGCAAAGUGGUACCUAUGCUGCUUGUGAUGAGAUCCUUGUAACAGCCUCUUGAACCCUGGAAAACAACAAGUUAUAAGAAUUAUCAGUAUGCAAGCGUGUAGCAUUUAAUUAAAAAAUCUUGAAGUCCGAUUAGAAGUUUUAUUGCCACAGAAAUAUUGAAUUUAUCAAAGGAAAAUGGCAUAAACUGUCAAAUUGUGUUAAGCAUUUACUAUUUCUUUCGCUUUUCACUCUUGUAAGUUGUUACCACUUUACUAAAUGGUUGUACUUAUCAAGUGCUCUUUUUACUGCUUUCUUUUUGUGUCGAUUUCUGUAGAAGUAUAGUUGUAUUUCUUUUCUGGAUGAGAGUAUUAUCUACACUUUCAUUCUUGUAAAGACAAUUUUUCUAACCAUGUGUCAAGGCCAACUUUUGUGCACCUCGACUAAUUCCACGGGAUAUCUUCUACCUCCCAUCAACAAUAGGUACUACAUAACUCUGUCCACCAAGGCUAGGUCAGAUGAGAAGAAAUCACCUAGUGUUUUUGUAUUGUAAAUGACAUUUCUUUUAAAUGAUUUUUAUAUGGUAAUAAUUGGAAGAAUUAUUUCAUUCAUUAACUACCUAGUUAACCAAAUCAUUGAGGCUUCUCCAUCAUGUUCUACUGUCAUUUUUACAUUGGAUUUGCACUUACGUUUGCUUCUCUACAAUGCUGGGAACAUUCCAUCUUUGUCUCAAGUAGCAAUGAUGAUGAGUUACUGAUGAUUGGGAGGAAACUUGCAAUUGCACGCUCACGCACACACUCUUGAUUCGAGUUACUGAAUAUUUAUCACUCUGAUGAAGCUAUUAUAAAACAUCAUAGCAUUUUUCUUGCUUGUGCUUUUGAAGUUGUUGACAUAGUUCUUCGUGUUUACUUUUGCUUACUGAGGCAAAACAGGAGUAGUGUGAGCUUCUAAUCAAAUGGUGAAAUCAGGUCCCUAGUUUAACUAUCAGUAGGGUCAUUUGUGUUUUUUCUUCAAUGUUUUUUCCUCAUCUGUUUCCUUUUUUGGAAGUUACUGUUUGAUUAGUUAAUUCAUACUUUACUUUAUUUUAAAAUUGAUUGAUGAACCAAAAUAAUCUGGAAGAGAUUGCAUGAUUGUUGGAACAGAAAUAUUCCUUUUUUUCUAGGAUUCAGAACCUGUAGAGUGCUAGUUUUGAACUCCUAUAUGGCACUUGAAAGCAACCUUGACCUUGAGGCUCUGAACUGAGUUAAGAAUAGGUGAAAUGAUUAGCUGGAGAGGCUACUUCUUAGACUAAUGUAUUCACUGUAUGACUUACAAGUGUUAGGCAAAAUAAUACUCUAGUACAUUAGGAUGUAGACCUUAUGUGUCCUUUUCAUCUUCCUUUUGCCCUUUAAUUUGAGCUGUAAAAACAGUUUGGGUUAUGUUAGGACUUAGGAAUAGCAAGUUGCAAUUAUGAGCAGGCAGCUACAAAUAGGAAGUGGGGGAUCUGUCUCCCAGCAAACCAUUGUUUUCGCGGACGACAUUAUUUAGUGGUCAACGAAGUAGGUUGAGAUCAUGAGGUCUUAAGUGGUAUAAAAACAUUAGGUGAUUUCCUUUUCUCAUCGCUCCAAGCCUUGGUGGACAGAAUUACUCGGUCUAGUACUUGUUCCUCUUAGGUAUGUAGUUGUUUCGCUCUCUCUCUCUCUCCCUUUUUCAAAUUCACAACUUGUAGCUACACUAGCCAUGUUCCAUGACUAAAACCUACUGAAUUAUUAGGCUAGCCAAACAAGUUUCACUGUGUGUAAAGCCUAUAUCUUCAAAAUUCCAACUAGGAAAUUAUUAUGCUUGAGUCCAUUUUUGUGUGUUACUAUGUUGAAAGGAGAACUGUGUGCUUUGACAUUGUGAAAAAGUAUGAACUGUUGAUGAUGUUCCUAACUCUUAUAUCUUGACUCAACUUUUUUUAAAACUUAAUGCAUAAUUAAGAUAUAAUCUUACUUGUGGAAGAUAGAAAGUACUCUCGUAGAAUAGUUAAGAUGUGUUUAAGCUGACUCUGACACCAUCGUCGUUAAAAAAAAAGUGAGCAUAAUUAAAGAUUUACCCUACAUCAAAAUAAUACAUUUUUUGUAUAAAAAUACACAUUCAAAACUCAACUGACUUAUAUUUGUGAAUUGGUGGGACAACCAAUCAACUAAACUACCUACUGUUUUUUAUUUUAUUUUGAAGGAUAACGUAGAAAAAUGUUCAUUAUAUCUGUGCAAUCUAGAAGUGUCAUUUCUUGAUUGAAAACACUUUCUUGUUAUUUAAUCUUCGUGUCUCUAUUCAAUCAUUUAAGAUGAAUCUAGUAUUUCUCAUAAUGAUUAUUUGUUCAUCAUCAGUCCCUUUGUAUUAAACAAUGUACUAGAAUUUUGGUUUGUGGAAUUAUCCAGCCACAAAUAUAUUGAGAAAAAAGAAUAGCCAAAAGCAAAUCUUAUUAGUGAGUCCGGAGCCAAAAGGGCAACAAUUUUUUUCAAAAAUUCUAAAAGGGCAACAAAAUUAUUUAUCAAAUCAAAAGGGCAACAAAUUUAAACACCAUCUAAAUUAGGAUUUUUGCCGCAAGGUGCGGAUACCCAUGCGACUUGUAAGGCGCUGGCAGCUUUUAGCCUUGUAAGGCUCUGCCGCCAUGAGCCUUACAAGGUGCAAGGAAUCUGCAGCCUUUUUCUAAAUUUUUUUUACUACUCUUUUACUACUAUCAAUUCUUUUUAUAUUAAUUGUUUACUGAGCCUUACAAGGCGUGGGAAAUCUGCAGCCUUUUUCUGGAAAAAAAUAAUAAAAUCCUACUCUUUUAUUGCUAUCAAUUCUUUUUGUACUAAUAGUUUACCCAAAAUUUCCACUAGUCUAUAAUUAACGGAUGAUUUUGAAUGUGUGAGAUAAAAAACAUACUAAAUUAUUUACAUUGAAAAUUAAAGGAAAUUUGAGGAAGAAAAUUAAAGCUAGUGGCUUGAAAUCAUUUUGAGUUUAGUUACUAUUAAGACAUAAAAUUACUGUAAUGUCUUUUAAGUAUGUCAUAGAUUUUUAAAAAUGGAAUGUUAUGAACUUGUCAUAUAUAUAUAUAUAUAUAUAUCAUGUUUCGAAAAUAUUUCUUUUGAGUAUAGUGUCUAUCAAAGUCAACCUUUCUAUUCCUAAUAGUAAGAGUAAAAUCUAUUUACCCCGAUUCUACCCAGACUCCACAUAUGAGAUGAUACUGAUAUUUUCAUAUUGAUUAACUUUUCAUAUAUCUGUUGACUUUUGGGAUUAGUUAAUUUUGCCAAUCACUAACAUGUUGUCAUUAAUAUAAUCUGAAAGAUUUGCUUUUAUUUAAUUGUAACUAAUAGUACUACUAUUAUUAUCUUUUAGAUACCAGACAAAAGAAGAAAAAAAAAGAAAUCAAUAUUACCAAGUGAUAAAAAAAGAGUGAAGAAUUAUGAUAACAAGCUAGUGUUGUUUUCCAUUUUGAUGCAUGAGCUUUUUGUAGUAGAGGCUUUACCCUUUUAGUAAGCUUUAGCCUUUCAUUGAUUGUAGUAGCGGUGCCUUUCCUUUAAUUUUCAAUGUAAAUAAUUUAGUAUGUUUUUUAUCACACAUAUUCAAAAUCAUCCGUUAAUUAUAGACUAGUGGAAAUUUUGGGUAAACUAUUAGUACAAAAAGAAUUGAUAGCAAUAAAAGAGUAGGAUUUUAUUAUUUUUUUCCAGAAAAAGGCUGCAGAUUUCCCACGCCUUGUAAGGCUCAUGGCGGCUUAGCCUUAGAAGGCUAAAAGCUGCCAGCACCUUAUAAGUCGCAUGGGUAUUUGCGUCUUGCGGCAGAAACCCUGAUUUAGAUGGUGUUUAAAUUUGUUGCCCUUUUGGUUUGAUAAAUAAUUUUGUUGCCCUUUUGAAAUUUUCAAAAAAAUUUGUUGCCAUUUUGGCUCCGAACUCUCUUAUUAGUCCACUAUAGUUUCGGCAUUAUCUAAUAGCUUUGGUCCGAAUUAUGUAUAUCAUAUGUUAAGAAAUUUAGUCUAUCUAUAUACAAAAAUGAAAUCUAAAAAGAAGUUAUUAGCUCCUGAGGUAAUCGUGUUAUAAUUCAAAUUCUGUAAAAUUGAAAUCACAUAUUUUAGCUCUUGAGGUAAUCGCGUUAUAAUUCAGACCCUUUAAAGUUGAAAUCACGGAUUAGCCUCUAAAUAUAAUUCAGUAUCACACAUGAUUAUGAUAAUCUUAGGUAUCAAUGAAUCGGCUACUAAGAACCAACCUAAUGCAAAUGUACUUUUCGAGCAAGAAAAUUAGCAAAAAAGAGCUUUAUAAUUAAUAUUAAACAUGGAAAGAGAAAAAGUUAAAGAGGCCCCUCAUUUUUGAUUUUGUUCUAAAUACUUGUAAUCUCUACCAAGAAGACUUAAAAAUUAAUUAUCAUCGAAUUGAUUCGGAUUUAGAAGGCUAUAUUAAGUGGUCAAGGGUUGACUAGCCUUAGUUAAUUGUCCACUAAAUUAAAGAUUAGGAAGAACAAUUAUUUAGAACAAGUCACAUGCAAUAGAUGCUAAACAAAGUAUAAUGCGGCUAACAACUUAGAUUAAUUAGCAAAUAAAAGAUAGAUCUGUGAUUAAUAAAAUGUAUUUAUACAAAACAAGUCUCUUUUUUGGAUAUUAAUAACCAAUGAUUAUGGUUAUGAUGGCAGCCCACUAUAGGGUGAUUUUCACAAAGAAUAUUACGCUAUCUAAUUGCCUUUAUUUAUGACUACUUUAUUUAAUUUAAUAUUUCCAUUCACUCACGAAAUAGUUAAGUUAUGAAUUUUAAAGCAAUAUACACGCCACGAUAUACAAUAAACUACACAUUCACACUUUUUUUAAGAAAAUCUUUUUUUAUUAUAUCGGGAUAGAGGAAUGAGAAAUGAGAGAGGUAAUCACAAGGAGGGGAUUAAAUCCUCACUGAUAAUGUGAAAGUUUAGAUAGUUAACCCAUUGGGUUACUAAGAUCCACCCCCCCCCCCCCCACNNNNNCAGACCCCCCCCCCCCCCCCCCACCCAAAAUAAAAUAAAUGUAUACAUACAUUUUAUGUGGUCCAUGAUUCAUUGACCAAACUAAGUUCUAUGUGGUCCAUGAUUUACUAGUCAAACUAAGUUUCAUGUUUGUCCACGAUUCACUGGUUAAACUAAGUUGACAAAAUGGCACAACAUAACACCCUAUAGACUAAAUUAGCAAGAAAUAAUCCACUUUUAAUUUUUUAGCAAGAAAAAGACUUUGUUUUAUUUAUUUGGCAAUGAAUAGUUAUUUUUCUUUCUUUUUUUAAUGUAUUUUUGCUCUCCUUAUUUUUCUCAAACACACGUUCUAAAAAAAUAUUGUUUUAUUAUCCCUAUUUUAUCUCUUUUUUUUUUAUUUUGUCAACACUUUUAAAAUUGAGUUCUUCUCUUUUUUGUCUCCUUUUUCUCUUUCCAGAAUUCUUUUCAUACGUAAUUCUCUCCCUAAUUUCAAUUCUUCUCCUUAAUUCAAUCUGUUUAUGAAAAUCAGAUAUAACAAUAUGUUUUUCAUGGAUAUUUCUAAAAAUCAUCUUUAUAUAUAAUCUUGUUUUGUCAAAUUAAUUGUUGAAUUUCAUGAUUUGUAGAAUUGAAGUUUCUUUCAAUUUUGUUUUUUGCGAAAAUUUAGGUUAUUCAACCUUCUUUUGUUUUCUUUCUAAAAUCCUUUUCAUAUGUAUAUUUGCUUCUCUUCUAAAUUUUCUCUUAUUCUCCUUAAUUUACUCUGUCUAUGCAAAUCAGAUAUAACUGUAUGUUUAUCAAUUGAUCCUUCCAAUAAUUUCUUUUAAUAUAUAUAAUUAUUGUAGCAUUUCUUGCCCCAUUAAUUUUAAAAAUUCGUGAUUUGUGGAACUAAAGUUUUUAAAACUUUUUUGGCGAAAAUUCAGGUAAUAGUUUUUAGAAAUUUUUGUUCUCAAUUUCAUGGGCAAGAAAGAUCUUCGUAAAAAAUCAGAAUGUUGAUUUUGAUGAAUACAACCCAAUGUAUACCAAUGAAUUUCAAUCUCAAUUUAAAUUAAAGUAUACAAGUUUAUUAUGUGAAUACAAAUCAUUGAAUACACGAUGAAUACGAACUAAUGUGUACAUAGUGCAGUUACCGUAUACAUAAAAAAAAUCACAUGUAUAAUUAAUGAAUAAAAUUUAUAUAUGUAUCAUAUUAAUCUCAUUCUUGUAUACAAUAUAAAGUUUAUGUACACAUGCUACAAUUAUUGUAUACAUCAAUAAAAAUUUUACACGUCUAUUUUUUAUGAAUAUUUUUUUGUGUAUACAUAUUUUUAUUGUGUACAUUAUGUAAUUGCAACUUUAAUUAUUAUAUAAUUUAUGCAUAUGUAUUAUUACAGUUUCUAAUAAAAUGUCAUUUAAUAUUAUUUGAUUAAUUAUUGUCGAUUAUGUGAUAAUUAAUACACGUUAGAGCAUUAAUAAUACAUUUUCUUACCUUAAAAAGUAGUCACAAUCUUUUAAUAAGUUAUUUAAAGAAUUUUAAAAAAUUAAUUCCUUAAAAUUUGGUGUAACCUNNNNUUUAAAGAAAUUGAAAAGCUAACUUCCUUAAUUAUAGGAGUUAAAAACAAGGAAGAAAAAAUAAUCUCACAUCUCCUUAAUUAAUGCGGGUUGGUUGCACAUGAUAAAAAGAAAAAAACUAUAAAAAGUUGAUUUUAUUUCUUUUAGGCUAAUAUGUGCUAAUUUUGUUUUAGGCUAUUAAUUGCUAAUUAAUAUUGAGCUAUAUAUUGCCAAUUAUAUAUAAUAGUUGUAUGUAUGUGUCAAUUCCUCAACUAAGUUUCACGUGGCCCAUCAAAAUGAUCCAUAUGGACAAACAUUUAAAUGACCGUCUCCAGACUAUCUUUGAUAUGGUAGAAAUAAUAAACCGAGCCUCGCACUAUCACUCCACCAAUUGGUCCAACUCUUUACAUGAUAUGAUAUUAUCUUCAAAUUAUCUUUGAUAUGGUAAAAUAAUAAACCGAGCCUCGGACCAUCACUCCAUCAAUUGGUCCAACUCUUUACACGAUAUGAUGUUAUCUCUAAACUAUCUUUGAUAUGGUAAAAGUAAUAAACUGAGCUCCGCACCAUCACUCCACCAAUUGGUCCUACUCUUUACCAUUAUCUGGCUUAGGCCAAGACCAACAAUUUUUUCCAAAAAAACAUAUGUAACUCUAUACUUUACAUAUAAUUUCCAAAUCUUCAAUUAUCAAUAUAAAUCUUUAUUCGCAUUUCCAACAAAAUAAACACUUAAAGACAAGUUAUAGUAUAGUAAAUGAUAUGGAGAGGACAAACAAAACUACAAAAGGAGUACUGGAUGAUUUGAGGACUUCACCUAUAUAUCAAUCAGUUGAUAAGAAUUUAAUAAUAAAAUAUUGUAUUCAGCAAUGUACUGCAAUUUCCUUGUGCAUCUCACUUUCAUCUCUGAACAAAUUGAUGUUUGUACUGUUUGGUCGAUUAGUAGGGUCCUUCUCAACACUCAAAAUUGGAAAAUGACAUGAACUUUACUAUUUUCUUGGUUUCAAUUCGUGAAUAGAAAUUAUAAAAUCAACGUUAUGAAAAUUUCAAAUUCCGAAAAACUUUCCAUCUGAAAUAUUAUAACAAUUCUAUGUCGAGACAAUUUUUUCGAAAAAAAAAAGAGUGGAGACUGUAUAGGGCGGUCGAAAGGAGCAUUUAGUUUAUUUAGUGUUGACAGGUUAAAGUUAGACGUGGAAAAGAAGCAAUGAAAAAGAGCAGUUGAAAAAUGGCAGAGGGAUUGGAUAUGACUAUUUGAGUGAUCCCACCACAAAAUUCUCAUGUUUGCAAAAAUGACUGAAUCUUUGUUUCUUUUAGGUUGGAUGUUAUUUAUGUUCCCUUUCUUUUCACACUAUCAACCAAACUAUCCCUAACCUUAAACUAUUCAACAUCUCACUUUAAUUUCUAUACACAAAAUUUACUUUUCAUCACCACACUAUAUGUAGCGGACUCAAAAUUGUCAUUAAGGAAUGUCAAUAGAAUUAAAAUACAUAAUCUUAAGGAAAUUUUUUAAUGUCUUAAUUACUAGAUUAAGUCAUUAACUUGUGUUUAGAGGUGUCAAUAUAUAUAUAUAUUUAUUUUCAAUAAAUCAAAACUUGACCUCUACACAGAAGCGGAGCUAAGAUUAGGAGUUUAGGGGUUCUAAAUUUUAGGACAUAAGAGAAAAAUAUUACAAAACAUGCUUCUUGGUAGGGUUCAAACCCACAACACUAGUGUGAAAAAAAUUUUUAUUGCCUUUCCUUACCACUAAGUUGUCGAUCAAUUUUGUUAGGGAGCUCACAAGUUAAUAUACUUAUAUAUUUAUUUAAUUUUCUAAUAUAAAUACAAAAUUUACGGAAAAGCUAGUGGGUUUAUGUCUUUAAAAAGUAAAAAAUAUUUUUGAAUUACGUGAUUUUAAAUUAAAGAUAUAUUAAAUGUAUUAAAAUAUCUUUUUAUUUAUGAUUUUAAACAUGUUACGUGAAAAGUUGAUUGAAUCGGAGGGAAUUGUAUAUUUUUUAAAAAGGAUUGGAGAAGUAAAGGAUUCUGUGUGUGUGUCACGGGGGUUUAACCUCAAGAUAAUGGGUAAACUAUGUGCGCUCUCUCUCUCUCAUAUAAAAAGUUUUAUCCGCCCUCAUCGUUUUAUUUGACACUACCAAAAAAAAAGAUGAAUUUUGAAAUUUGUGGUCUAAGAUAAAUUUUAGAUAUUUAUAUAUAGUUAUAAAUUAUUUUAUUAAAUUUGAGAAAUUUUAAAGUUAAUUUUUCUAAUUAUAUAAAUGUGACAUUAUAUUUUAGUGUGACACAUAAAUUGGGACAGUGAAAGUAUAUAUAUAAAUACACACACUUGUGAUCCUAAACUAAAGAUAUAUAUUGAACAUACUAAAAUGAAUGUCGUCUAAUCUUAUAGUUUUAAAUAUGACAUAUGAAAAUUUUAAAUAUGACAUAAUUUAAAAAUAAAAAUAAGAUAAAUAAAUUACUUAAAACGGAGGGAGUAUUUUUGUUUUUUGUUGAAGAAACAAUUACUGUAAUAGAUAUGGGUAUAAUUAUGUUACUCCUUUGAUUCUUCUUUCUGAAUUUCUCCAUAAUUUGAGGGUCAUUAAUUACGUAUUUCUCGAACUAAGAUGAUUUGAACUUGUUCUCCAUGAAAGAAUUUAUGAAUCUUGAUCUCCAUAAUUCAAGUGUUGUUAGUGGUUAUUUCUCGAACAAAGAUAAUUUGGACUUGAUUAUCUCCAUGAUAAGAAUUGUGGUUAUAUGUUUUGAUCUCUUAUGAAUACCUCAGAGUUUAUGAGAUAUUCGAGAUGAGGGAGUAGUAAUUAACAUUAAUUAGAAUCAUUAAGUGAGAAAUAAAUUACUACUAUGGCAAGACAAGAUUGGGGUCACGUGUAUUAAAGAUGAGUAGUAGUGGCGUUUGAAUAAUGUAGUUUGUCAGAAGGUGUAUGUGUGUAUUUCAUUAGAGUUCCAUCAAUCAUAUCCUCUGAAUUCAUUGUAAUUUCGAGAUCAUCAAAGAAUCAUACAACUUUUCUUUUCCAUCGAAUGAAAUCCAACAUCUUUCUGCUACUGCUCCCACCAUUUUACAUUAUCUGUAAAGUUAGUUUUCGUGUUGCUUAAUGCUACCCCUAAAAGUAACAAUAGUCUUUAUUAGUAUAGUAAUAAUUAACCGGCUUUUAUCUAGGCUGACAAGCUUACGAAGAAGAUAUGUGUUAUUCUUUAUGGGAUCAUAUAGUGGGACACUCAUUACUUUGACUUUUCACUUGCUAUAGUCAUAAGCUAUAGUAGUUUCGGCUCACCAUCAUAGAGGUCCACCCUGAGAGAUCAGAGUGGUUCAACAGUUAACCUUCAUUUGAAUUAUGUUUGGAGUGUCAGAUCUAGUUAUUUAUCUAAAGAGUUAUUGCAAUUACUUAUCUUAGAUUCCAUCACCACAAUCUUCUGGUUCACCUGUAGUACAAAGAGAUGAAAGUGAAGAGUUUUAUGAACAUAACACAAAUUCGUUUUAGGACUCUAUGAUGGUGUUGCCCAAUGGCCAAAUCUAUGCGGUCUGUUGGACAAAGUAAACCAUAUAUGACAUGUGCUUGAGUACUUGUGACAAAUAUGGUAUCCAAGGGGACACUCAUUAAUAUAAUAGAAAUGUAUGUCACUCAUGAUGGGUGGCGGCUAGACAAGGUUGGAUUGUAGGCAAAUUUCUAGGUUGGUGAGCUUAUGAGCUGAAGAAAGGGUACAUGUUAUACCUUAAGGCUUAAGCGAACUCCAAUAUAUGGUAAACAUGUGUUUGAGCUCCAUGUUGACAUAGCUUAAAAAAUAAAUUCAUUAAAUUUGUUGAGCCAAAACGAAUAAUAUAUAUCAUGGGUUCCAAUCCUUACAAAAAUAUCAAGUUCAUACUUUUUGCUUCAAAAUUCUAGUGAUACUACUCAUUACUUUUUCUCAUUUUAUCUUUUGAACUGCAAUUUUUUUUUGGUUAGGUAGGAUGAUGUUCAUUUUUCAUCAAGAGUGUCACAAUCUAUUCAUCACAAGCUUUUGUAGUAGAAAUUGUAUUUAACGUAUUUAUUGCAAUUAAUGAAGCGCUAGCAAUCAAGAUAAAGAUUGUCAGUGAAUAUGUUCUAGACAAAAUAUUGGGAGAUUAGAUUGGUAGUUCUUUACGAAUUUGUAUUAGUUGUGUCAUUUUUACUAGAGAUUUUUAUUUUAAUAUAUAUGCAAAAGAUUUUCAUUUUAUAUGUAUGAUAAAAUAUUCGAAAAUGCAUUUUUUUUGUUGUAUUUAUAAGUCUUUGUAAGAUGUCAUUACAAUUUACAAAGUUAAAAAAGCUUAUAAAUAUUUGUGUGACCGUAAAAUAUAGUCGAAUAUUUGUUUCUGUUAUUGCUGAUCAUUUACUAGAAUAAUAAGUCAUUUUGUUAUAUGAGGAGAGUUUAUUUAAAUUUAAAUGAAAUGUUAUGUGAGUUAUUGAAUUUUAUUUUGUAGAUCUGUUUAUUUUUUUAGAUUGGCUAUUUAAAACCUUUUAUAUUUGAUAAAAUUUAAGAGAGAAAAAUUUAAUAAUCUUUCAACCUUUUUUCGUUAUACCGGCUUUGAAAAAAUAACAGAGCCUCACUAGUCAUAUACGAGAUCCGUGAGUUAAUUCUAAUGAAUCAUGUUAAAACUAUUUAAAAACAAUAUCAAUUUUUAAUCUAUUUUUCAAAUAUGAUAAGCAAUAAUCUCUCCAUAAAUUUUCAUAGAUGAAAAUGAUUAAAUUUAACCUGUGAAAAUAAAAUCAUAUCUUAAAGUUUAUAAUAUAAAAAAUUGUAAUGGAAAAUGAAUUCCAUUCACAAGAGAAAAAAAUACAAAAAUGCGAGACAUAAAAAAAAACUUGGGAAAAACUAAAAAAGAUAUAAGUCUAAGAAUGUGACUGAAUCAAAUAAAUUAAAUCUUUUUAAUAUUUGUAAAAUAUUUCUUAGCAAUUCAAUUUUUAAAUAUUAUUUAUUUGUUAGGAGUAAUGUGGAUUGGAAUAUCAAUGACAUCGUUAUAUUGAUUUGACAUUGACAAAGAGAAAUUGAAUUUACAAAGAGAUUUUGAAUUUCUUAGAAUUCAAAAGGACGAGUCUGUCAUCAAGUAUCAUGAUAAUAUUCUUUUGAUGAGAAUUUCAAAAAUGACAAAAUAGUUGAAUUAAUUUUUGUGAUAAUUCCACCGAGAUGUUAGAUUAAAAUUUAUUUUAUAACGGAGUCUAAAGAUCUCUCUAUCGUUUAUAUAAUAAAAUUGGUAAAUACUUUUAAAGCAUGGAGACAAAGAAGAGUCUUCAAAUAUUAUUGAUGAUACUUUUUAUGCACAAAACAAAAAAAAUAUUAAUGAAAACCUGAUGCAAUAUGCAAAAAUUUCAAACAGAUAUGUCAUGUCAAGAAAGUGUACGAUUCAAUGACGCUCAAAACAAUCAUCAAACACAAACAACAAAAACAAAAAUUGAGGUGGAUUAACUUUAUCACACAACAAUAUAUAAUUGAAAGAUAGGACUUAGGGUGUUCAAUAUUUGUUAUUUUACUAAUCUACUAGAAUAAUAAGUAGUUUAGUUAUAAAAGGAGUCUUUAUUUUAAUUUUGUUAGAUAAGUAUAACUCCAUUAAGUGUGAUAUUAAGGGAUUUUGAAUAUAUUGUAUAAAAAUGUACUAUUAUAUAAAAUGUGCUAAAUUAAUUAUUUAAUUAAUUUAGAAAGGGGGUUGCACUAGCUCUAUAGUAUUUCAUGGGUCCUCCUUAUCUUCUUGUUUAUUUAAUUUUCCCUUUUUUGUGGGGUUACACGUUGGGGCCUUGUGGGGUUGGGAGGAAUGCGAUGUUGAGAACAGUGGACUAUAUAGCAAAGGCUGAAAACCCUAUACAUGUAUCAUGUGAUUUACCUACUGUUCUAGCGUCUACACAAUGCAAACAACUAAUUAUAUGAUGGUAGCCAAACAAAUAUCACGAGGUUAAUAAGCUAUGCACGUACAUGAAGUGACAAGAGGAGUUGCUCGUAUGGUAAACACUUGUAACUUCUAACCUGAAUUUUAUGAGUUCUAAUUAUCAAAGGAGCAACAAGAUGGGAGUUGGUUCCAACCUGAAUAUUAUGAGUUCGAGUCUCCAUGGGAGCAAAAAGGUGGGAGUUGGUUCUAACCUGAAUAUUAUGAGUUCAAGUCACCAAGGGAGCGAAUAUUAUGAGUUCGAGUCACCAAGGGAGCAAAAAGGUGGGAGUUGGUUCCAACCUGAAUAUUAUGAGUUCGAAUCACCAAGAGAGAACAAGGUAUUGAAGCUUUCAGUUAACAAUAAUUAUAUAUCAACAAUCAACCUGUUAAAUUAGGUCUUGGGCCAAACUCACACCCCAAAAGCUAGCUCAAAGAAAGGAGGAUUGCCCAAGACUUAUAAGGAGUCCACUCAUCUCAUUAACCAUCAAUGUGAGACUUUUGUCAUUCUUUAACGCAACCAAAUUUGUCUUCCUUCUCUUCUCUUUCCUGUCAUAUAGACAUGUUGCUUCACACAAGACUUUUUAGAAAAACAAAAAGAAAAGUGAUUUUCUUUACUGCGUCCCUUGCUCUUCAAGUUGCCUUAAUUAGCUUAGAAAUAAUAAAUUAAAUUAUAGUACUAAUGUUUGAUCUUUACUCAGAUUUUUGUGCCCUUUUUGAUAAGUUUCUUUCGGCUAUACAUUUAUAAUAUUGAAACUUGGCAGCUUUGCAGCAUAUAUUAGGUAAAGAAAAAUGUGGUCCAUAUGAACAAAAGUCUGAAAUCGUAUGUAAAUAAGUAAUGCAUUUAUUAAUAAAGGAUCACUUUUUAUAUAUAUAGGCUACAGAUUCUAACUGGAGAAUCUGCUUUACAAUGACAUGCCAAAUAGUUACUUUGUUUAUAUAUAUUGACCCAUAAACAAAUCCCAUAUGCCAUGCCAUGCCAUGCCACAUUUUAGGACUUAUAGGUAGUAGAUAGAUAACUAUGACUCAAUACUCAAUAGCCAUAUUAUAAAAUGCUAACAACAAGUGUUUUGAGUUCAAAGAAAUAACACAUAGAAGAUCGAGGGUCAUCACAAAACCCUAACAAGUUGAAUUUAUUAUCAAAUCAAAUACUUCCUCCUCCUCCAUAUCCAUGAUGAUCUCCGGUAGUGUUUUGAUGAUCAUUCCAAUUAGGGUAAGAAUACGGUAUCGGAUAACUAGAUGUUUGAUAAAAACCACCACCACCACCACCACCACCUCCGGAUGGUCUUCUAGUAAUUAAUUCAACCGAUCUUUGACGAAGAGUGAUGUUAUGAUGAACAGGUAAAGGUGGAACGGGGGAAGAUGUGAACUCAUUGCAAGCAUAGCGGAUCAAGUCCGCAUUAGCCGCGUCGAGCUCUUUUUGGAGGCGCUCGACUUGUCGUUGGAGGAAGGAGAUUGCACCUACGCAGCCGUAGACGGGGUCUCUAACUCUUGCUUCGGCUUCGUAGGCUAAAGAAUUAACGGCGUCUUCUCGUUGGUGCGGAAGGAGUUCGUUGAGGAGCUUAGUGACAUUGCUAGCGCCGAAGAUUUUGUGGACGUUGAUGAAUUUUUGCGGCUCUUCGGGUGGGAAGUAAGGUGAGAAAAUGCAGCCAGGAAGACAUUUUCUCCUUAGGAACUUGCAAGCAGCACAAGGGGAGUUGUAUGAGCUGGAUGAUGCCAUUCAAUCCUUCUUUAACUAGCUGCAAAAUAUCAAGUAAUUAAAUCUCUUCUUAUUCUUUUUUUAUGUUUAAAUAUCUCGUGAAAUUACUUAAUUAGUGCUUUUGUUUGAACCUGGUUCUCAUCCAACUUGGAUAUAUGCAUCUUAAUUGUUUUCCAUACAAACCUCUACCUAAGUUUAACUUUAAUUAGUUGUUAAGUAUACUACUUCCUCUAUUUCAAAUUAUAUGUCUUAUUUUUCCUUUUUUAGUCUACUUUCCAAUUUGGGGUUUUCUUAAUUUUUUUAGAACUGGGAAACAAAGAGGAACAUUUCAAUUUUGAGUUAACAGAUUUAUUAGGAAAAUUGGAAAUCUAUGCACCCCUCUAAUUUGUACGAAUUCAAUUGAACUCGUUAUUUUUUAUACAGAACAUAUAAAUACAUAGUAGUAUGAGAGAAACCAUCUAAAGAGUUCAAUAAAUAUUAGGUUUUGAACCAUAUAUAUUCUUGAGAUAUACAGUGAGUUCAUGUUAAAAACUUUAAAAAUUGAAUCGAUCAAGUUUAAAUCAUGGGGCACCAUUAAUUAGAAGCGUUAAGUUCAAAAUGAAUUCUAUUUUUGGUAUUAUGUCCACUGCUAAGUUUAGCUAAUUAUAUAUUUUGUUGUUUCCUUUUAUGUUUGAUGUUUUAUGUUUUAUGUUUUAUCCCAACUAACUAAUUAUUUCUUGUUUUAUAGUUCAUAUGACUCAGAAACACACUGCAUGCUUUCAAUUAUUUGUAUCAUCCAGCUAAUUACUAGAGCCAGUAAUUUUCAUGAUCCUGAAUUUGGAUUUUCCAAUGGAAGUAGUGAUAUAUCCUUUUGAAUUUUGUUAAACAUAAGAUCUAAACAAAAAUGUUCUUGAAAUCUUAUUUCAUAAAAAUAUGUUUUUUUUUCAAGAAAACCCUAAAUCAAGAACUGUGACACCAACUAAUAUAGCCAACAUUUUUGUGUACCUUUAAGAAAAAGAAAAAAAAAAGAUUUAGGCAAAAAAAUGCUAGUAACUCUAUUUUUUGAUCUAGGUAUAUGUUUUGAUGAGAUGAAAGAAAAAAUGGAAUUAAUCAAUUACCUUUUUUUUUCUCUUUGAGGAAGCUCUCCUUGAGAUCACAACUUGCCUCUUUAUUUCUUCAAUCAAAGUAACAAAAACAAAGUACAAAACAUUAAAACAGUAGCAAGAUUGAAAAAAAAAGAAGUGAACUUAAUUCACAAGUAGAAUAGUUACUAGCCCUGUAAGGGGGAAAACCCUAAUUGAAGAAGAGAAGAAGUUUAGGUUUGUCCCCUGCAAAUCUAGUAGUAGUAGUAGUAGGAAAAAAAGUUAUAAAUAAAGAAAAAAGAGUGAAGGGGCAAAGGGGAUAUUAGUGAUGGAGAAGGAAUGAAGGCAAAAGACAAAGAAGGGUAAUAAUUAAAAUGGAAGGUACACUAGGGAAAAAAAAUAUAAAAAGAUGACUAUGUCCCAUGACUCUGCAUCUAAUAAUAAUUUCAUACUUUUGUGUGGGGGAUAUAUGUAUCAUGCAUGUAUCUAAGUUUUUUUCCCUUCUACCCUAUUUCUUUUUGUCUUUCAUGUAUGUAUACUAGUUUUCAUCCUCUUUGUUCCUUUGGAAAUUUAAUUAGGUCAUUUCACCAAUAAAUUAAUGAAGAAUGUAGUGAAAUGCGAUAUUUAGUGUGAAUUGCUGUGAAUAUAGAGUUUUUAACACAAAUUACGUCUGAAGUCAUUAGAUUGAGGACAUGUCUGUCUGAGUGUCACGUAUGAAGAAGAAAAGAAGAAGUGAAGAUAGGAAAUGAAAAUGUUGUUUAACCAAUUAAUUUGUUGUAGUAGAGAUUGAAGAUACACGUGUUCUAACCUCUAACCAUAAUUGAAAUGGUUUUCUUAUUUUCUGAUUAUGGAGGAGAAAGUCUUUUCGUUCAUUUUGUCUAAACUUGUUGUCAAUCACCAAUCACUCUCUUUAUGGAGUUGACAUGCUAUAUUACUUUAUUGGCAUUUAGGUGUUCGUGAAAUUUUUAUACUAUAAAAUUGACCAGUUUAUGGUUGUCACUCUAUUAUAAUUUUUUUUUUUUCGAAUUUGAAAUAAAUAAGAGUAUAAACAAGCUUACUCGAGCAAAGUUAUAUUGCUUGAGUUUAACUUGUUUGAAAUUGAAGUGUCGUUAUUAUGACAAAUAAUUUAGGAAAUCGUGGGAUGGCACAUGAAUAAAAAACAAACGAUUUGCUUAAUGUUUUUUUUUCAAGAGUUAAUAUUUCAUAUAUUUUUUUUCAAUAUGUUAGAACCAAAGCAGUCAAGGUUAUGUCCGAAUUAAUAAUCAAGAGAGUGAGUUGUGAAUCAUAAGAUUUUAGAUGCAAAUUUCAAAUGAGAGCGAUCAAAACUCUAUGUAAAUUUUUUCUAUUUGUUUUAUAAGUCUUGAUAAAGAAAAUUACUUUGUAUAUGCUACCGCACAAAAUUAGUCAAACUGUGCUAGUGGCUCAUUCACCAUAGUUAUGGAUUGUCAAUGACUAACACAAGAUGAUUUUGGAUAUUCAAUUUCACUUGCAUCUUGUGUGAAAAAUGAUCAGCUAUUUGAUUAUCUUGCCGUUGUUGCUGAUUGUUUUUUUUUUUUGGAAAAAUUAUUUAACAAAAGCAAAUAUAUGUCUGGUAUUUAUUUGAAAUAAUGAAAUUUAAAAAAAAAAUUAGUUUUAUUUUUUUUGCUUUAUUGUUCACUUGCUCUGUAUAUAUACAACAAAUUAUAUAUUGAGCAGAUUGAUAGACUGGUACAAAGCAAAUUAAUUAUACACUGUAUCACGAGUUUCUAAAGUAAACUGUUACGACAUUGGUAAUUAUCCAAAUUAUUACUAUGAUUGAUAAUUAGGACUCCUAGUGCUGCUAGCUAUUUGUGAAAUUUCCUUUCUUUUACUGCUAAAUUACUUACUAGUAGUAUGAUAUGUGAAUUAAAUUAAUAUCUCUUGACCGACUUAUACUUAUAAAAUUAUGUGUAUAUUGAAACCCUCUAUAACUUGGGUUGUACAUAACACAUAGUUUCUCAAAGAAAUUUGACUUUACUUUUUUGUUUUCGAGGUAACUCUCAUCAAUUAAUAAACUAAUUUAACCUUUUCAAUAUGUAUUAUGUAUUAAAUUCGUUUGAACUAAAGAAGCUAAAUGAAAGAGAUUAAUUCCUACGUACCUAACCUUAUUAUAUGGUUAGUAUAAUUUUACAAAUAAAGAAAUGAAAAAAGGAUACAACUAACAACAAAAACUAAAAAGGAAAGAUACAAAAGAAUUAGUAUUUUUUUUGUUUCUGUAUCGCAGAUCGACUUAAUUCGGAUUUGCCCUAAAAAAUUACCAUUGAAGAUAAUCGCUUCCUAACAAAAAUAACUCCGUAUAGCAGAAGACUCGAAUCCGACACACAAAAGAAUAUUAUCAUGACUAAAUAAGGACGUCUUGGAGUUUUUCUUUUUCAGUUACAUGCUUUAAAAUGUUCUAACCGUAAGACCCACUAACUGGGGGACCGUUUGGAAAAUAAUUUCCUUACGAAAUCAAAUCUUUUUAAAAUUCUUUGGAGAUCUGAAGAUGGUAAAGUCAAUUCAAUAUAUUUGACUUGAAAGUUUUUUUAAAAUAAUAAUUAAGACAAAGUGAGAUUUGAAAAAAAUAACUGACACACUCAAGAAAGUGAUUUUUUGUUAGAUUCUUAUGUAAAAGAUUAAUUAUCUCUAGAAUUUUUAACCAAUAGUAGGUAAAGUUUCAUAUUUUGGAAAGAAUCUGCUUUAUUUUAUCUCUUAAUUUUCAUCAAAUCCAGAAAAGUUAUUUCAAUUCCAGUGGUCGAUCAAGGUUGUUUCCUUAAACCUUUAUUACUUUGAAAACACAGCAGUGACUAAAACGAAAGAUUUGAUUUUAUAGCCUUUUACAAAUUUAUUUUUAAUUUUAUGUCAAAUGUUAUUUUUACAUGUAAGAAAUCUGAAACGUUCAUUUUCUUUAGUUCAAUUCUUCAAGUGACAAAAGAGAUCACUUCAUUGAUUAAAAUCGUAAUGAGCAUUUACUUUGUUGUCAAUUGUCAUUUUUAUAUGUUUGAAUGCAAUUUUACUACAGAGAAAUCACUAUUUUUGCAUUGAAAUUUUCUAUUGAAAAUUUUGUAGUGGUUAAUUUUUUAUAGAUAUUUUAAUUUAAUCAGUGAGAAGAAAAAAAUGUUUAGUGUCUAACUGUCUAUUCUUCAGUAUUCCAAUGAAAAUCUCUUUGCCACCAUGUGUUUUCCCUAGUGAGCUGGUUCAGUGGAAGUAAGGUGGAAAAAUCAUGUUUUAUAACACAAAUUUCUUAGUGAUUCACAGUUGAAAAAAUCACUAUUUCUAUUAGUGGUUGAGUCUAAAAUUUGAAAAAUGUUGGUCAUUACUUGGUAAAACUUUGCACUAAAGUUCUGUGCGGCGCUUGACAACUUACUCACGAAUUUCGAAGUGAUGGACAUAACAUUAUGCUGUUUAUUAAUCCUCGGCAUCAAGUGAUUGAUAUACAAAUCUUAGCAUAAAAUGUGCAAAACUUUUAGUAAGAAACAAUGGCUUAAUUUCGUUAAAAAGGCAUACAAAAAGAUAAGUAAAUCAAAAGUUGAAAAUUAGGUAACUUUGUUUUAGGAAACAAUAAUUAGAAUAGAGUCUUUCAACUAUCAUUAGAUCACCUGGAAGAUAAAAAGCCUAAAAUUUGAAGAAUCAUCACACUUUGACUCUGAUCUACUACUUAACUAACUACUAAAUUGAAUUAAUUUUUCAACUAAAAGACAAACAUGUCUUAAUUCAAACUCAAGUUUGCCAAAAUCACCUGAACAAAGCAGUCAAUGAUUUUAUUCAAUAACUAAAUUAAAGCAGUCAAUGAUUUUAUUCAAAAAUUCCUUGGUAAAUGCGUUAUCAAUGAUUUUUCUUGCUUGUGUUUUAUUCAAAUUCCCCCCCUAUAAACGUUUUGAAUCUAAAUAAUCGUGGGGAUUUCUUAAAGUAUGAUAAGUGCGGAAUAAGAAUUUUUAUAAGCAAAUACUACAAAAUAUCUAAGGAGAUUCAAUUUAUAUAUACACUAUAAUUUUUAAUUAAAAAAAUCAGAUGAAUCCCUUGUGCCUCUGGCUCGACUAUCACCAUCAGAAUAUAUAACUUAAACGUACUACAAUAAUGAACGUUGUUUUCCUAGUUUAAUUGUUCUUCUCUGCUUUUGGGCAGCCAAAAUCAUGUAACUACCAUGGAACGAUACUCAAGUAACAAAUAGGUAAAAGAAUAAGGAGAAUUUUAGUUGCUCAGAUAAUUGGCUAACUGAAUUUUCACUUUAUUGGUGAAGGUUUGAUUCUCUACCUAGUAAUCGUUUCCCCCUUCCCCUACCCCAAUUUGAAAAGGAAAGAAAAAAAGAAUAGGUAAAAAAUAGUUUCUCACUCAUAAUAGAUAUUGGUGUCUAGAGGCUAUCAAUUAUGCCAUGAAUCUAGCUAAAAGCCUAAAAGCAUCAACAAUUAAUUUAUUGUACAAUUAUAAUAUUAUCAUUCUUAAUUUUCCUUCAAAAUGAACUUGGUAAAGGUGUUUGUAUGUAUGUAUAUUCCAUUUAAGGUUAUGGCCUUUGAAAAUUAAGAUGCCCUGCCCAUCUAUAAUUAGGUCUCAAUCAAUGCUUCAUGGUCAAAACAUUCUUUGAUGGGCCUUUUAUUCCAUACUAUAUUCUUUUUCAUAAGUAUAAAGAAAAUUAAACAAUUUUCUAUUAGCAAUUUUAUCUAUUAAGAAAAUCUCAAUUUGCUUAGUAGGGAGACUGCACCUAUUGCACGCCUUCUCCUAUAAAAAUCUCAUUGUGGGCCACAAUACGGACAUACAAAAAUACGUGUGUUGAAAAAAAGAAAAUGUCAUGCCCAAGACCAGGCGGACGAGGGCGGGUCAAAGAUAAGGACGGAUAGUUAUGCCGAGGAAGGAUUAAUGCACAUGAUAUCUUAAUUAAAUAAUUUCACAUCGAGAUGAGAAAGAAAAUUAAGUGAAGAAUUUAUAAGAUAUAUCACAAGUUGAUCAUAUGUUGCACACAAUGACAAUAUAGCUCUAAGUAUACAAGUUUAUGUAAUCUGUUGAACUAAAACGAACUAUACAUAAUGAAUUGUGAUAAAAAGAAUAAAUGUAUGACUCACGUCUGAAAGGAUUGCACCAAGUAAUUAAGUAAAGGGGACAUAAUUGAAUAAUUUGAUGGAUAAUUUGAUGAUAGGGGUAACAAUGAUUUUUUUUUUUCAUUCAUGUUCAUUCAAACAAGUUUCCUUUUAUUGUCAAAAUAGACGUGAAUUUUAGUGAUGGAUUUUACAUCACUGGUUUCUGACAAUGUUGGGUAUCAAAAGUCAAAGAUUUCAAAAUCAUCGGAUCUUAUUUUUAUUGGGAUAUAUUAUUAACUAUAUGGUUGAAUUAUAGUAUUGAUUUUAAUUCUUUAUAAAAAUUUAGCAUUUGUGUGGCCAUUACUAUUGUACUAGAUGAUUUUUGUGUAUGGAGUUGUUUAACUCAUAUGCGGAAGAUUAAAAUUGUCGGUUCUUAUAAGUUAUAAAUUAAAUGUUUACAAUCAAAGAUGAAGUUGGACAAACAUCUUGAUGAUUGUAGCACAAGAUUAAAUAUAAUUCUAUCUUAAUUAUGAAAAUGUUAAAAUUUCAACUUCUUGUGUUAGUACAUUUGUAUGUGUUGAACGGACCAAAUUGAGAUAUUCAUUUAGGUUCUGAAUUUUAAAAUAUCUCUAGUCCAUUACAUUGCUUAUACUCUUAAUCUUGAUAUAGUUAUUAUGAUUUGUGUAGUUUGUUUUAUUAUUUUAAUCUAUUAAAAGGUGAGACUCAAUGAUUAGUCAAAAUAUUCCUAAUGGAUUGGAUAAUGACAAAUUACAUUCGUGAAAUAAUAAUUAGUUGAUAGAACCAUAUCUCGGAUAUGAGAAAGAAGACACCCUUUUAUGGUUCCUUAAAAGUUGUCACGUGAAAACCUACAGGUGGAUUAUAUAUAUAUAUAUCACGUAAAUUAAUUUAAGCAUGGAGAUAAAUGAUUAAAUUAAUUAAUAUAUUAAAUUUUUUAGAAGUUUGAUUUAAUUCAUAGGUGUCGGUAAUUUUAACAUAGGGAGUUAAAUAAGUUAUAAUGGUAAAUUUUGAAAUUAAAUAGAUGUGCACAAUUAUAGAUUUUUAGUGAUACAAUAUGUGAUUUAUUAUGAUAUGGUUAAUUCAUGUUUUUAUCAAUAAAAUAUAUUAAUUGAAAGCCUCUGUUAAUAAAUUUGUGGUUCCUACUAUGCCUGAUUAAUUGAUCAAGUUCAGAAAAAAAAGACUAUUAGUAUUUUUUUUCUGUUUAGAAAUAAAUCAUUUUUGACUUGGUUCAAAAGAGGAUUUUUUUUUUAUUUCCUUAAAAGAAGAAAGAAGAAAAUACUUGGUUUCUUUGUUUCCUUGGAAGAUGAAAGAAGCAAAUAUCGUUAUUAAUGGUAUUAACAGUGUUUAAUAGUUAUUGAAUACCUUCAAUGGUGUUUAACAACUAUUGAUGAUAUUUAACGGUUGUUGAAUACGUUUAAUGACUGCCUAAAUAUCCUUACUGGUAUUUAAUGAUUGUUGAUAGCUAUUGAACAUGACUGUUGGUUACUCCUAAUGGUGUUUAAAUACACUUAAUGGUAUUUAAUGGCUAUUAAUUAUGACUAAAAAUGUUUCAUCUUUUAAACCUUUCCCCUUUGCUGAAAAGUAUAAAUAGGGGUGGUGGUUCUCAAGAAAAGAUCAUCAUUUUUUCUGAAAAUAUUUUUGUCCACACAAGACUUAAUUGAGAGAGUUAGUCAGGAACUAGUAGAACACUACAAUCCAAUGAGUUGUGUGAAAACUUCAAAAGGUUAGAGUUUCACAAUUUAUUCAGUUUACAUUAUUAUGUUAUUAUGUCUGUUUGUGAUCUUGAAUAAUGAUUCCGCUAUGCAUAUUUUAACAAUUUUGUCCUGGCAUAAUUUCUAGCUACGAGUGGUAAAAUUAGGGAUGACAAUUGGGUGGGUUGGAUCAAAUUUGGACGGAUCCUAAUGGGUUAAGAUAAUAAUAGGAUUAAGACCCAACCCAAUCCAACCCAACCGAAAUUUAUUUGGUUCAUUAUGAGUUAGGUAAUGGAUACAUUUCGGGUUUGACCCAACCCAAACCAAUUUUUACUAAGCUUAGUCAUUUUAUUUGUUCUUUCAAACUAUUUUAGUACCUAAUUAAAAAAAUUUUCUCUCUUUAUUAUGUCUAUAUUCAACAUAUCAAAUUGAAAAAAGAGUUUUUUAAAAGUAUUAUGACAAAAAUUUUCAUGAGCCAAUUUGAAUUACGUAUCAACCCAAUUUUUAAUGGGUUGAACUAAUGAAGAAGCAAUUUUCACAUAUAACAAACACAAAAUUCAUAUUUGUAUGCUAUAACAAAGUUUGCAUAAUUGUGCUCCAUAGCAAACAUAUAUAAGUAUAAUUCGCUAUACAUAUACAAAAAGAACAGUUGUAUGAGGACGAAUAUAUAUGUAUUUGCAUGUGUAUAUACAAUUUUCUCGCGCUUUAUACAAACAGAAACGCAAUUUAUACAAUUCUGUUGUAUAAAACGAGAAAGAGAGAAAGACAAAAGAAAACUGGGCAGGAAAAUAUUUGUAUUGUAUAAUUAUAAAUGUAUAGGACGAAGAUAUAUGUAUUUGCAUGUGUAUAUACAAUUUUCUCUCGCUUUAUACAAACAGAAGCGUCAAUUUAUUACAUUUCGUUUCUGUUUGUAUAAGCGAGAGAGGCGAGGGUGGCGAGCAAGAUUUGGGAGAGGGGAACGAAAAUAUAUGUAUAUAUACAAUUUCCUCUCGCUGUAUACAAACACAAAUGCAUUUUAUACAUUUGUGUUUGUAUAAAAAGCGAGAGAGGCGAGCGAAACUGCCACCAAACGAGAGUGGCGAGCGAGAUUCCACCAGGAAGAGUGGCGAAAAAUAACAAUAGUUUGCUAUAGGGUACAAUUAAAUCAAAGUAUAUUUAUAACAUUUAAUUUGAAUUAAUAGUUUGCUAUUAUAUAUAAUUUCGGGUCAAUAAUCCGCCCAAACUUAAACGAAUUAGACGAGUUGGAUUUGAAUUUGAUUUUGCCACCCCUAAAUAAAAUUAUUAACCUAUUAAAAAAUGAGUCUGCUCAAAUUUGGGUGGGCUGAAUUAGGCAUAAUUUAGCGGAUCAAUUUGAACAGAACUAAAGUCGGUUCAUCUAUAAAAAAUGAAUUGAUAGAGCGCCUAGGGAUACGAAAAAACUCCGUUCAAUUAUAUAUAAGUGUUUCUAGUUUUUCAGUUAAAUAAGAGUGUUACUGAAUAGAGUUUAAAAACAUGCCUACUAACAGAUCAUUUGAAAAAUAAUUUACACUUGUUAUUUUCUUGGGACAGAAUAUUAAACGAUGAUAAAGGAUCAUGCAAUUAUUGAAAAAGAAACUGUAGGGAUGCACCUUGCAUGGAUACUCUAAAGUCCAAAUUAAGAGUUAAAGUCCAGUUAGAAUCCAAUACAUAACAUUGUCAAAAUAGCCCAAUCCAGCACCAUAGUCCAUAUCAUAAGAAGGCCCAAAAUAGCUCCCAACUGUAGUGUAGACAAUACACUAGUAUAGCCCAACAGGCCCACAGCAGAAAAGCCCUCCAAUUCCUGACUAAGCAGUAAGCACGUUUAAUUUUUAAUUAACUACUAUAUCUUUAAGGGAAAAUUAUACAUAAUGACAAACUAUUAAUUCAAAUUAAAUGGUAUAAUCACACUUUGAUUUAAUUGUGUCCUGUAGCAAACUGUCUGCCAGCGCCUCUCUCCCUCAAACUCUUGCUCUCCACUCUCCUCUCUCGCUCGCUCACUCCCUCUGUGCUCGCCUCUCUCGCUUUAUACAACAAAAGUGUAUAAAUUGCGUUUCUGUUUGUAUAAAGUGAGAGAAAAUUGUAUAUACACAUGCAAAUACAUAUAUAUUCGUCCUAUACACUUAUAAUUAUACAAUAAAAAUAUUCCCCUGCCUAGUUCUCUUUUGUCUUUCUCUCUUUCUCGUUUUAUACAACAGAAUUGUAUAAAGCGCGAGAAAAUUGUAUAUACACAUGCAAAUACAUAUAUAUUCGUCCUAUACACUUAUAAUUAUACAAUAAAAAUAUUCCCCUGCCUAGUUCUCUUUUGUCUUUCUCUCUUUCUCGUUUUAUACAACAGAAUUGUAUAAAGCGCGAGAAAAUUGUAUAUACACAUGCAAAUACAUAUAUAUUCGUCCUAUACACUUAUAAUUAUACAAUAAAAAUAUUCCCCUGCCUAGUUCUCUUUUGUCUUUCUCUCUUUCUCGUUUUAUACAACAGAAUUGUAUAAAGCGCGAGAAAAUUGUAUAUACACAUGCAAAUACAUAUAUAUUCGUCCUAUACACUUAUAAUUAUACAAUAAAAAUAUUCCCCUGCCUAGUUCUCUUUUGUCUUUCUCUCUUUCUCGUUUUAUACAACAGAAUUGUAUAAAGCGCGAGAAAAUUGUAUAUACACAUGCAAAUACAUAUAUAUUCGUCCUAUACACUUAUAAUUAUACAAUAAAAAUAUUCCCCUGCCUAGUUCUCUUUUGUCUUUCUCUCUUUCUCGUUUUAUACAACAGAAUUGUAUAAAGCGCGAGAAAAUUGUAUAUACACAUGCAAAUACAUAUAUAUUCGUCCUAUACACUUAUAAUUAUACAAUAAAAAUAUUCCCCUGCCUAGUUCUCUUUUGUCUUUCUCUCUUUCUCGUUUUAUACAACAGAAUUGUAUAAAGCGCGAGAAAAUUGUAUAUACACAUGCAAAUACAUAUAUAUUCGUCCUAUACACUUAUAAUUAUACAAUAAAAAUAUUCCCCUGCCUAGUUCUCUUUUGUCUUUCUCUCUUUCUCGUUUUAUACAACAGAAUUGUAUAAAGCGCGAGAAAAUUGUAUAUACACAUGCAAAUACAUAUAUAUUCGUCCUAUACACUUAUAAUUAUACAAUAAAAAUAUUCCCCUGCCUAGUUCUCUUUUGUCUUUCUCUCUUUCUCGUUUUAUACAACAGAAUUGUAUAAAGCGCGAGAAAAUUGUAUAUACACAUGCAAAUACAUAUAUAUUCGUCCUAUACACAUAUAAUUAUACAAUAAAAAUAUUCCCCUGCCCAGUUUUAUGUUUGUAUAAUGUAUAAUUUAUGUUUUGUAUAAAGCGAAAGAGAGCGAUUCUUUUUGUAUAUAUGUAUAACGAAAUAGACAGCUUUCAAUUGUAUAUGUAUAGCGAAUUAUACAUAUAUAUGUUUGCUAUGGAGCGCAAUUAUGCAAACUUUGCUAUAGCAUACAAAUAUGAUUUUUUUGUUUGCUAUAUGUGAAAGUUGCUCCGACAAUCCCUUUUAUAUAUAAAAUAUAUAAUAUUUAAAUUAUUCUUAUAGAUAAAUUACCCUUAAUUACGUAAUAACAAUAAAAACAUAACAAAGUACAUCAAUAAUUCAAUAGUUUAACACUUUAUAAUUCGUUAAAAUUAUGACCGAUACAAAUGCACAUAUGAAUUAAUUGGAAGUGAAUGAUGUUCAAUCACAAAUCACAACGACCAAAGUUUAAAUUUAUUUAUACUGGAGGGACUAAAACUGUUAACUAUUGUUUUCUUAAGUGUAAAAAAUCCAACAAAAAAAACAAAGCAGAGAAAAGGCCAAAAGCCUAUAACAGACUGUUUACUUUCAAACUCAUCUCUCUCUGCUAAAUCCAUUUUUUUCAUGCAAACUUUCUCAUCAACAUCUGUCACUCUUCUCCCACGCGUCCAUUCUCCUCUUCCUUUAUAUUCACUCCCACCUUCUUCCCUCUUUUCUCAUCCUCAAUUUAAUCAUCAUUCACUCUUCAAUUAAUUUAAUUUUUUUUAAAUAAAAAAAAUAAAUUCAAAUCUGCCGUUCUAUCCAUGGCUGAGCAACAGUCCCGUACCCAGCAGCAGCAGCAACAGCAACAAAUGCAAGUUCAGCCAACGGAGGCUAUCAAAAGCCUUCUUCCUCAAAAAGGUCCUUCUAAAUCCCAAAUCCUUGCUGUCGUCACUCUCUUCCCUGUCGGUGGAGCUCUCCUUUGCCUCGCCGGACUUACGCUCGUCGGAACUGUGAUCGGACUUGCCGUUGCUACUCCUGUUUUUCUGCUGUUCAGUCCGGUUUUGGUCCCGGCGGCACUGACAAUCGCGCUGGCUGUUACCGGAUUUUUGACGUCCGGUGCGUUUGGGAUAACGGCGUUGUCGGCGUUAUCGUGGAUGAUAAAUUAUAUGAGGAAAAUGAGGGGAACAGCUGGAGAGCAGAUGGAGCAUGCGAAGAGGAGGGUGCAGGAAGCUGCGGGGCAUAUGGGACAGAGAACAGCCCAGAAGUAGGCUACUAGAAUGCGUGAUUGAAUUCUGAUUGGAGUACUGUUAAGUUCUGUGUUUUUUUAUAUAUAAUUUAAUAUGUGUAUGUAUUACUGUCUUUAAUGUGCUUAAUUUGCAGCGUUUUGAUUUUCUAGUACUAUAAUAAAAUGCGUGAGCCUUUUGUGUUUGGUAUCUUCUUUUCGUUGAAUGUCGAAUUUGGACUCUGUUGUUUUGCCGGUAAACAAAGUUACGAUUCUAAGUGGCGUACUAUGCUAUAUCACUUAUUUGUGUCUAUUUUUCACACUCGCGAAAAUAUUACUAGUGCAGAAUUUAGACCUUAAUGAUCAGUCGCUAAUAAUAUUGAGAUGGAAGUCAAGCCAUAUAAUAGUGUGAUUGAGCAAAUAAUUAACACAAUGACUAACAUGGUAGAAUUUUGGAAAUAUCAAAUGCACUUUUUUAAAAGGGAAAAUUAUAUAAAAUGACAAUCGGAUUAAAAUUUUUACUCAAUAUAGCCAUUCCGCCACCUUUUCUUUUCAUCCAAAAAUCUUUUUUUGGAUGAAUAUGGAUGUAUAUGCUUUCGGCCACCCUUUCUUUACAAAUCCAAAAAAGAAUUUUACUUUUAUGUAAAGAAAAGGUGGCCGAAUUUUCAGCUAUUUUUGGAUGAAGAAUAUAGAUGUAUGUAUAUUUUUGAUAUAUAUACUAUUUAUAAUCCAUUGAUACAAAAUAUAUACAUUAUAUAAACUAUUUAGGCACUAAUUGAAAUAAUUUGUCACUUGUACAGUUAUGUAAUCUAUUAAAACCCUAGGUCCUUUUACGUGGGCUAGCAAGAAAGAAAACAUGGGCAAAAAACUAACUAACAUUCACAAUAUAAAUUAGGCCCACUAAUGUAUUAACUAAUUUUUCAUCUCAUACAUUAUAGGAAAAAUUACAUUUAUAUGUAUUACUCAAUAUUUUUUAAAUAAAAUAUGUCACUACUAACCAAUUUUUAAAGUAAUAUUCCGAUCUUCAUAUUCUAUUUCUAUAAAAACUUUAUCAAAAUGCUCAUAAUGUAUACAUCUAUAAUGAAGUAAAAGUACUUUUUUUCUGAACUGUGCAAUGGUUGUGCCAUAUUUGUGCCAAAAGUGUGUGCGCAAAUAUAAAGAAAAUAUAUUUGAGCUAAAAGAAAAAAAAGUGUAUUUUCAGCUUUAAAAACUAGCGACGUAUAUUUGCGAUCCUAUUCUGUACUUGGAGAUAUAUAUUGAUGACUGAUGAUGUUGAUUGUCGGUAGUGAUUGAUGGUUGUUGUGGUAAUAGUAGUUGGUGGUGAUGAUUGUGAAUGGUGGCUAGUGAUGGUGAUGAUUGAUGAAUGUACUGAUUGGCAGUGACGUCAGUUGUGGGUGGUGGACGGUUAGUAGUUGCUAAUGGUAGGUGAUUGUGGUGAAUGAAUAGAAUUAUUGAACUAUCCUUGAAUAUACAUCUUUAUGAUAUUAAAACUUUGUUACAUAUCUUAAUCGGUCAUCUAUUCAAGUGAUUCAACACACAUUAAGUGGUUGUAAUGGUUAAAUAUCUGAAUAAUUAUAAUUCAGACCUAAAACACAAAUGAAUUUAAUGACAGAUUUGUAUGAUUAAUAAGAUUAAAACCUUCAUUAAGUGCAAAUAAACGAGGCCUUAGUAUUUAUCUAGAGUUAUUCAUACGCUUAUCGUUAUGCUUCAUGCUCUUUGCCAAAUGUGUAAUUGUAGGUACUUGAUGGUUGGUGUGGUUCGUCUCCCUUGCUAUGGUAUGUUUGCCUUGGUGAUAGCAUUGAAGUAUUGGUUAGCAAAAUUGUUCAAAUGGAUGAUUAGAAAGAUAUCUGGAGACAAACAAUGAGUUCAAAUACCAUUAAACAAAUAAAAAAGCAUUACUCAAUAUACACUAGUAAUUCUUAAACCAAAAUGUCUUUUUUUCUUUUAAAUUCUUAAUGUUGCUCAGAUAAAUGAGCUGAGCAGCACAAGCUAUUCUAUUUAUACGUUUUACCCUCAUCAACAGACUCGGAAGAAAUGGAAAAAGAUUUUAUUCCCACAUUCUUGAAUCUCCUUUGUAUAUCCUUCUCAUAUUUGAUAUGUUCUACUUGAAUCGAGGAUUAUCGAAAACAACCUCAGUAAGGUUAAGGAUGCAUAUCCACCACCCUCUCCAAACCCCGUAUGUAAUUGUUGCUUGAAUCUCCAUGUGUAACUACCUUCAUAUUGUCUACUAUUUCAGCUUGUGUUGCAAACCACUAGAGUCUAUUCCAAGGGGAAAAUAUGUGAAGCCUCUUUUAGUCAUUUAGCAAUGAUUAAAAAGGCAUUAAAACAGAAAUGUAUCAUUUAAUUUAGCCUGAACUAGCAUCUAAGUAGACAUUUAAACUUAUUUAAGAUUAAACAAGUUAACACAUUUUGAGCCUUGAAAAUAAUUGAGAUUUUAGUGGGGAGUUGUUUCUCCUUUUGACAGACAUUAUAAUACACAAUUCAAAUAGUCAAAACUCUAAAGCCAAUAUUGAAUACUGAGUACUGAGUGGGAAACAAAAAAGACACAACAUUCAAAAAUUCUAAAUAUUCUUCUACACAAUGGAGAUAUUAAGUACCCAAUAGAAUAAUCGAGGUGUAAACAAACAAAGAGUCCUACAACAAUAACAAGAUAAGUGUUCAAUUGUCAAGAAAUAUUAUCUUCACAUAUCUCUCAUCAAGCAUGCAAAUCUUGGCAGAAAAGAUGCACUCUUUGGAACUCAUUAUCCACCAAGUUUCGAACCAUAUGCCAAAUAGUGUUAGAGCAUUUCUUGGUUACUAAAAAAAGUGCUAUUUGACAUCUCCAGUAGUUCAAACAUAUCAGAAGCACACAGAAAGAACAUCUUCAAUGUGGCUAGCAACACAUGGAGGGGAAAUGGAAUUCAAUGAAGAAAAAUUAUGCACAGGAAAGUCCUUUGCCAUGAAAAGCAGCCAGCACAAAAAUAAAGGGAAGUAAUCAAAUCCAAUGACAAGAUAUUCUAGGCACAACAAACAUAAUGUUUAGGUGGGGAUUGCCAAUAGAACAUAAGGAAAACCCUUCAAAUUCCUAUCCCUACUUUGAAUAUGUUUUCCAAGUUGAUGUUUUUUUCUGUCUUUCUGAUAGUAUUUUCAGCUUCCCGGACCAAUAAUAAAAGAGAAGAAAAGAAAUAAAAAGGGCCCCCAUUUGCUUGAAUUACCAUAAUCAAGGUUUCACAUUCUCCCUAAUGAACUUCUCUAGCUGAGAAAUUUCACCGGUCAGACCAGAAGCUUCAGCAACAAUUACUCUGUUAUGGCAUUGAGAAAAAGUAAAUGGUUCUCCAGGUACACCAAGCGUAUAUUCAUUAGAGAUAUCUGCAUCAGAUACAGCAGUUCUUGAUGUACGAAGCUUGUCGC
RNAcentral lists this long non-coding RNA (56647 nucleotides) under Solanum tuberosum (potato). Its description in RNAcentral is "long non-coding RNA (STUB_LNC004089)". The stretch from base 42705 to 42816 matches the Rfam family "5.8S ribosomal RNA", at positions 36 to 154 of the family's 154-position model. Lineage: Eukaryota; Viridiplantae; Streptophyta; Magnoliopsida; Solanales; Solanaceae. The record is from RNAcentral.